UAUUUGUAGCUAAUCAUAUACGGCAUGUUAAGGAUUGGGUACAGGAUUUGGAUCAUUCAUCUAUUUGGCAUAUAUACAGUGGAUAGGUUUUUUUUUUACAGUAGCGGUAUCCCAGUAUUCAUUGUUAUUACUUGCUUCUAUUGCUACUAUAGGUUUACAUUCCAUUUCAUAUAUAUCUCAUUAUAUAUAUCUCCACUAUUUUCUUUUUCGGUGAAUAUGGCUUGCCUUCGUGGCUUUGUCAUAUCUACUAGAAAAUCUCACAUUUUCGCACCCCACUAUUUUCCACAGGUGACACGGGUGAGGAGGUAAGUUAGGGCGCAGCGUGAGGUUCCUAGUUUGCUAGUUUGCACUAAUGGUCCCUUAUACUUUGCAACUUCCAUUAUGGUUUACUUGUCUUGCCUUAUUACUUUUAUUGCUUAGUUAUUAGAUCCCAUGGUGGUUCAAUUAGACUGGUGAUGCUUAAAUGGUUUUAUGGCAUAUGAAUAUGUAUGGUUUUAGGAUAUGGUAUCGACUUUGGUUUUUGAAUGGUUUUUGAUUAAUAUGGCUUUGGUAUGGUUUGGUUUUUGAUAUGGCAACAGUUUUGUCUUUAUGGUUAUUGGCUUUGGUUUCUCGAUUUUUAUGUGGCAAAAAGAUUUUCUACCCUUCGUGGUAGUUGGUUUUCAAAAGGUAAGAUUUUCGUAUGGAAAAAAGUUUUCAAAACAGCUUUCAUGUUAGUUUUCAUCUUUAUUGAAUAUUAGAUUUUCAAAAUAAAAUUUGCGAAUAGGAAACACUUUCAAAGGAUAGAUGUGAUUGAAUGAAUGUAAAUUCACAUCAUCUUCGGUAAGGACCUUGUAGUAAUAGGGCAUGCAUUAUGUUCAUAAGGGCCGGUUAGCUUAUUGUGCAUAUGCAUUAUGUUUUUAUGUAUGCGGGUUAGUGUACGUGAAAAUUAUAGGUUGUGUAGUGUUGUAGUUGGCUAGCACGUUGUGUAGAUGUAGAAAAGACUCUGUUCGCGUGGACAGAGAAAACUCUAUAUUUGUGGUGGAUCUGUGCACUCCGUGUGCAAGACAAGUUAAAAAAUAGAAUUUUUUACAAACUUUGGUUUUCAAACGGCACCUUUAAUAUAAAAGGUUGUAGAAAAAGGGCUCCGGGGCGUGACAGAUUAAGAUGGAACCAUAGCGGCAACAACCAUUAUUUCACUCACAAGCAUCUAACUAAACCGCAAGCUAGGCUGACCAUUGGAAGACCUAAGGCUUAUAGGGAUGUGACAACGCAGGGUGGUUGGGAUUAAGUCUCUAUUGUUUUGGUGAAGUCUUAUUAGUCUUGAGGUAUAUGGUUAUUUUAUUACUCUAUAUUUGUGCUAUGGUUAUGGCUCGGACUCGUGCUUCUGCCAAGGAGUGGUGGCGGAUUAUCAGGUAGGUAUCAAGUGGCAAGGUGAUAUUCACCAUAUAUACUGCUCAUUGAUCAGGUGGUGGCCAUAAUAGGCCAAGUUACGGCACUUGCUGGGCCUAUAGAGUUGAUUCAGCUGCUACUUUGCAGUCCCCAUUUCUUGCUUAGGGCAUAAGAGCUACUAUGGACACCUUCACAGAGAUAGCAAAACGGAGUGGCAAUGACCACGGCUACUAUAGUCGCUGCUAGGGUGUAACCCGAGGUUAUGGUAGCAACCACUUAGCCGGCUGCGAGGAUGGUUGCUGCUGGUGCUACAUAGGUGGCUGUGGGUGUCGCUCCUUUAGACAUCGUGGGUACGGUUGUGACACCUACUCCUCCUAGUUUCAUUGGUGGCACAGAUUCAUAGAUGAUGGAGCUAACCCAAACAAAGGUGAAUGUGGCUAGUUUAAGAAAUAUAACUCACAAGAGUUCAUAGGCGAGACUCACGACCCAUAGAUUAGGAGGCAUAGGUCGAUAUAAUGGAAGGCUCGUGAAAAAGUCUAAGGUAGGGUGAUUGGUCAGUACUGGAGUACAAGUGGGGGUUCACCCGGUUCGUUAGUCAUGUUCCGUUUGUGUUGCUGAAUGGGUAGCGCAAGGCUUGGCUUUUAGUGGGAUGUGUUUCGAAACAUUUUCCCUCAUUGAGAUCAACAACAUUGGUGUAUCUACCUUCUGCUGGCUCAUACGUCAAUUUGGCAUGCAUUAGAACUUGUUGAGCACAAUAUUGGUGUCAGGUCUCAGUUGGUGCGCACUUCAUGUGCCGCCAUUCCAACACCUAAAGUGGUGUGUUUUGGGAUGGUGGAUGGUCUAUGUAGACCUAUGGCAUAUCACGAGAUACUCCAUGGGGUUAGUUGGAGGUCUUGGCACGUUAGGUGAUGGUUAGGUGAGAUUCGAAAAUUGGUUAAAGAAAUUGUGCUCCGAUUGCACUUGUUCAAUCGGUUGUUGCUGGGAGCCAAAGGACUCUUUUGGAGUUGGCUCAAAGGUUGGCCUAGUUUGGAAAGUCGUUUUACAAAGCCAAAGUUUCGACUAUGUUAUGGUGAACUUUUGUGCGGCAUAGGUGACAAGUAGGAUGCCAACAAGGAACCGUGAGAACAUGAAUAAAGGAAUUUCGAGAAUCCUAAACAACCCACUGCCAAGGUGUGUGAAAAGCCACCUAAUGCCACUUGAUGCCUAUGUGCCAACCGUCGGGGGUGUGUAGAAUGCCGCCUAAUACCACAGAGAUAGGUGGGAUGAUUGGACUCGCUCCUAACAAUUCCCAUGAUCGGGGGUGUGCGGCAUGCCACCUAAUAUCUAGGAGUGGAGUGACUUCAUAAGUUGAGGACAUGUGGCCGGCGGUGGGCGACAAUCUCACCGCCUAAUGCCAUGAGAAUGGCGGUGAUGCUCUUUAUUGACUCAAGAUUGAGUCGGGUGACAUAUGAUAGGGUAAUGAAAUGGUAAGUAGAACGGUAAUAGACUUACAUGUGGCAUUUCAUUAUCAUGGAUAGAUGUAUAAGCAUGUUAUUUCCUAUAUGUUUAUGUAUAUUGAGCUAACCUAUACUUAUGUGUUUCAUUUGGACUUGGUGGAUCGAGUUUCUAGCUUAGGUGGCCGUACCCAUUGGAAAUUAUGUUUAUAGUUCUCAACCCUAUGUUUUUCAGGUCCAUCCACAGGUGGCGGCGGAGCGAGGAAAGGGCAUAGAGGAAUAGAUUGCAUCCUCCUCUUUUGUUUUGAGUUUUCUUAGUUGGACCCUAUUUAGGAGAUAUGUAGAAAAUGGAAACAUAUGAAUGUAAUAUUCUUUUUGGGUUGUAAAUUUUUGGUGCUAAAAUGAUGUAUGUAAUAGAAUGUUUCAAGUUGUAAUAGAAUAGUUUACUUCAUGCCUUGUGAUACUCUCUUUAUGCUACCCUUGUAUUUAAUUCCUGCUUGGAAUACGUGAAGUAUACAUAUUUGUGACGCCUUUGGCGAGUAGAGGAAACUCUGUCCAUUCGGCGGGUCUGGUGCACAUGCUUGAAUUUCGCUUCCACUGUGGGCGUGGGGCAUGACAGGCUAAGGUGGUAUCAGAGCGUAGAAAUGGUCUAGGUGAACCUUGGAGACCAUAGAAUAGAAACCUUAAGGACCUAGGCUCGUGAGUGAUGAGGAUCUAUGAAUUGUAGUGAAAGUUGAAUUAAUUAAGUCAAGUUAUGUAUGUCUCUAAUAGGAUGUUGGAGGUGGAUUCGAUGUGUGUUUUAUUCUCAGCCGAGGGUGUUCAUAUUGGCAAUUGACAAUAUGAAACCAAGUGAGAGGAAUAAGCACCCUUGUGUAACUUUCACCUAAAUUGGGUUCGCUUUUGAAUUUUAUCUUGCGUUUGACUUUGAUGGUCAUGUUAUUGACCAAGGUUGUUGUGUUUCAUAAAAUGAUGACGCGCGGUAGACCUCCGACAAGGGCUAGACCCGAGGAGUCGAGCAGAGCCCCCGAGCAAUUCGGAGCGGGCGGGGACAUAGAACUCCGUGGGCAAUUGACCGCACUCAUGGGGAUAGUGCAGCAACAAGCCGAGAUCGUGCAGCGCCAAGAGGAGUAGAUUAGGAGUCUCCAAGAUAUCAUGGUGCAGCAAGUGGUUACAGCCUGAGCGGGCUAUAAGCAACAUGCACCCCCGACCGCAGUGUCGAAUAUAGCAAAAGAGGUGGCCGCGGCGACAGUACCGGUAGCGACACGUCCUACACCAUCAGUGGUCCUGACCGAUUUGGGCAUUGCGGUCCCCAACCAUGCGGCGAUAGAGGCGGAGAGGGAUAGAGAGGGAAAAAGUGCACUUUGCAGUGCAUUAUUUUCAGAAGUCGGCGAAGGUGUGGUGAAAAAAGGUCAAGCGGGGCCAGAUUUCUAGCCUCCAUCCUGUAACUUAGGAGAAAUUUUGGAGAUUGAUAUUCACUACCUCUUUUUCUGACAGCAAGAAGAAGAAGCUUCAUGAUUGGUUUCGGAAGUUGUGGCAAGGGAACAACCGGUGAGAGAGUAUGAGUGCGAAUUCUCCCACAUUAGUAACUGAGUCCUGUAUGUGGUUUGGGACGACAAGUAUAAGGCAGACUACUUCGUGUGCAGACUGUGGCCAAAGAUUUUCAAAGUCGUGCACUCUCUCAAGCUGCAGACCUUUGCUAAGGUUCUAAAUUGGGCCAUGUGGGUGGAGCAGGAUAAUGCUUUCGUACGAGAGGAGCGCGAGUCCUUUGAGAAAGAGAAGGACAAAGGGAAGAAGCAACCGUUGGGUGGCUCGGGUUGUUAAUCUAGUUCUAAGCGAUCACCAAGGCACUUGCACUCGCAAUCCUGAGCACAGGGACCCCAGCCCACCCGGUCCAUGCCGAGGUGCAACAUCUGUAGUGGUACUCAUCAGACGCAGGUGUGUGAGCAGUAGGAGGGGAGGUCCUAUAGGUAUGGGCAGCUAGGUCAUAUGCGGUUCGAGUGCCCACAGGGUAACGGCCAGGCUCCAUCGGUGGCGUCGACACGCUCCUCACCGAGAUGGCUAGUGGGCAUCCCACCGGCGGUGAUGCCUGUGGGGUGUGCGCCGCCGGCAAGACAACUUAAGGGGUCACGGCAGGCACCAAGCGGCCGUGUUUUUGCGACUCAGGUGGAGGAUCCUACUAUUUCAGAGGACAUCGUGCCAGGUAUUAUUUUAAUUAACAGCAUAAGAUACAAAGCAUUAUUUGACACAAAAACAUUGUAUUCAUUCAUUAGUUGGUUGUUUGCACUACUCGUGGAAUAGACAUAGUAUACACCAAGCAAUUUAGAUAGGUAUAACUGCUCGAGCAUGCAUUUAGUGUUAGGAGUAUAUGUCGUGCCUGCCCUGUCACAGUAGGGGAUUGGAUCAUGCCAACAAACUUGUUAGUCUUGAAUCGGAUGGUCGAGUUUAACCUAGUAUUAGGAAUGGAUUGGCUCGCCAGGUACUAAGCUACCAUUGAUUGUGAGAGUCGUUUGGUGACCUUUAGGGAGCUGGGUCACGAGGAGCUUGUGUACUGCGGGUGUAAGAGCUCACUCUAUGCCACUAUGGUAUCCAUGUCAUAAGCGAGAAACCUUAUUGCUAAUGCCUGUGUUGCUUUUCUAGCGACGGUAGUGGAUGACCGGAAGGAGAGUCCGGCACUCAAUGAGCUUUCAAUAGUCCGAGAGUUUCUGAAUGUAUUUCCGACGGAGUUGCCCGAAAUGCCACCAGACUAGGAGAUUGAAUUUGCAACAGAUCUUGACAGCAGCAAAUGGCUUAAAAUUGGCUAUUUUAAAGGUUUGAGGCAAAAAGGGUUCUCCAUUCCAGAAAGAGUAGUGGCACAAACUCCACAGCGAUGACAAGUCAAGUCAGAAUGAGAAGAAGGACUGAAGAGGUAUGGUACUCUAAUAGAAGUUGAAAGAGAGCUAUAAACCAGACGAUUUCCUGACAAGCAUCAUCGGAGAAUAGUCUGCUAUUGAAAGAUGAAUCCUCCUCUAAGGUGAGACUGUCUUCUGUAGUCGGUAUUUCCACUAUUGGCUUUCAAGUCAAGUGCAAGAGUGGAUGUGGGCUCCUAUUUGGUCUUGUUUCCUUUGUGAUACACUUUUCAUCGAAAUAGUUUUACCAAUUUCAAAAAAUUGGACUUUUCAAACUUGUUCUGAAUUUGAACCCUUCAAUUUAGAAUUUAUAUAUAGUGAGGAUAUACUUACAAAGUUGGUCUAACUUAUUGUAAGGACUGAGAUUUUUUGACAGUGCAACUAAACUCUCUGUUGAUGAUGUUUAUGUGUGUAAUUUAAUUACAUAAGCACUCGUCAAGUUUCCAAAUUAGGUUCCGGGCAGAACAAACUAUGUCGAGCCAAGAGCAUCUUCAUUACUAUAGAAGACGGCGGAUGUCAAAAUCCACAGCCGAUCAUGUCCUUCAAGUCGCACGUUGCUUUCUACCACAUCGUUUCAAACGAAGUUUUACCAUAACAUUCCUCUAAUUGAAAUUUCAAAGCGGUAUGGAAUUGAUUCAAUAUAAAAUCAUGAAUAGUCAUUGGUUCAACCGGUAUAUAAUAGUCCAUACUUUCUAUCUACGGUACGGAUAAAUAAGUAUUUAUCCGGAUAAGGGUCAGCAAGGAUCGAAUUUAUUUAAUUUAACCCCAUAUUCUAUCAUAUGAAUGAAAAUAUUUAUUUAUAUUUAUAAAUAAGACGAAUAAACGAGUUUGCUUAAGACUUAUUAUUUACAUCUUCAACAGAUUGUUCGAGACGAUCAAUCAUGAAGGAUCCAGUUUUCUCGAACAAAUAAACUAUAAACCUCCAAAAGAGGUUUCUAUAGUAGAAUACUAAUGAUUUCCAAUCCCGAAAUCAAAUCAAUUAGUAACCAAAAAAGCUAUUCCAAUGACCCGAAAAAGUCGAAAUUUUGAUAAUAUAGAUUUCUCAUACUUCUUCCAGUACCAAUUCCGGUACCAAUCAAAAAAAAAUGAAGUAAAAANUACAGGUGGGUACUUCGAUCCGAAGUCGGUACAGUGGUGCACGCUCGGUGAUAUUUCUUCUAUCUCUGUUCUCUGGUUGCUAUUAUCGUAUUGUCUAUUGAGCUGGCAUCCCAGUUGAUUUUAUUAUACUCUACUCGUAUGUUUCUAUGCUUAGUAUCAUGUGUAGGAGUAGAGUAGUUUAUCCAUAUGUGAUUCCAGUGACCUGAUUGGUCGGUUCUCCUACCUCGUUCGGUGACCUGAUUGGUCGGUUCUCGCACCUUGUUUCGGUGACCUAAUUGGUCGGUUAUCGUACUUCACAUUUGUAACCUGGUUGGUCGGUUUUGGCUUAGCACUGUGACCCUUUUCGGUCGAUUCAUUGACUCCGUCGUUUGAUGUCCUAUGAGGUCGGUGUACCCUGAGGGGUAGGAUUGUCGGCUGGUGCUGACGGUAGUUCCGGACUAUAUCGAAUACACUCCUGUGACCUAUCGGUCGGUUCUUGCGUUCGUACUUUUAGUUGACAUCGAGCAGUAUCUACAUACUAUCUUUGUUUACUCUGCCUGGUUGUUCUAUGUGUACUAUCCUGUAUAGGGGUAGAGUAGAUGGCAUUCGUAUAUACUAUACUUGUGACCUGGUUGGUCGGUUCUCCUAUUUGCAUCGGUAACCUGUUCGGUCGUUCGUUACUUUCCGUACAUUGACCUAUCUCGGUCGGUUCACGCUGUUACUUGAUGACCUACACGGUCGGUAUGCCCAGAGGGGCAGUGAUUGUCGGCUGAUUGCCGANNNNNNNNNNNNNNNNNNNNNNNNNNNNNNNNNNNNNNNNNNNNNNNNNNNNNNNNNNNNNNNNNNNNNNNNNNNNNNNNNNNNNNNNNNNNNNNNNNNNGUUGGACAUGUUGUGGAUUACUUUUAGUAUUUGCUAUUGUGCACUUUGAGCGUGUUGUUCGAUCGCACGUUGUGGAUUUUCAGUACACCAGGGUUUUGAUCACGCAAUGGAGUGCAUUUUUCAGAAGUGGUCAUUUCCAUCAACUGAGCUACGGGGUGCUGUUAGGAUAUGUGGGUGGCGAGUAAGACAUGGAAUAACUGAGCUCUUUUAGGCAUUAUGGCAGUCGAUUAGUUUAUUUAUUACUUAUUGAGUCUGUUGAAAACUUGUGGUUGUUGUCAUUACAUUUAGCGAUUUCUUAUGCAUAAUUCUGUAGCCUGUGUAAUUCUUUAAGUGAUUAUGUACUUAUGUGAUAAUAUUCUUAUAGUUGUAUCUCAGUAUUCUUUCUUUAUCUUUCAGUAGAGGUUGUCUUAAUUUAUUGUUAGUCUUAUCCGUUUAGUUUCAUUGCUACUAUAUAUUGAUAAAUGUUAUUAUAGUUGAAUUUUUUACAUUCCUGCUACUUAGUUCGUUUUCAAUUUCUGUUGGCUACUCGCUUGUAGUAUUCGAUUGAUUGAGUUCGUUCAUUACAACCGUGAUUAUUAUGAGUUAAGAUGGUGGUUUAGUAGGUUGUAAUUGAGUUUAUUGAUAGUUAUGUGGAUUGAUCGCAUUUGGUUUUAUCUUUCUAUUAGAUGUUAGAUUUCUUCUCCUGAUACCUAGCCUGUUUUGUGUUUUUGAUGUAGGUGAGUUUGUGUGAUUGGUAUUGUAUUCGAUGCUACGUUGUGUAUGUACGAGGUGACUCUAUCUGUUUGAUUUAGGAGAUCUUUGUCAGUGUGGCAGAAGUGUUAGACCUUGUGUUGCUACUGGCGCACCUAAUUGUUUGUGUUUUGGUAGCAGGUGAUUUUUAGACUUAUUUAGUACUUUCGGGGCAUUUCAUGAGUUUCAGUAUCUGGGGCGAUUUCCGGGAAUGCAGCAUAUGUUUAUAAAUCGGUAAAAGGAAAUGACUUUAUUUAUUUUUUUCGGAGAGUGUGUGAUUGUUGACUAGGAAUCCUUAGUGUUUGUCUUGCUUGUGCAGAUCUUUCGUAGCGUUCGUGAUCAAGGCAAGAGACUUGGGUGUUUGGUGUCUUCUAAUUCAGGUGGUGCUCGAUCCGAACGGGUAUUAUGGUGCUAAGCUCGAUGACAUUUUUUUUUCUUCUACUCCUUUUCUUGUUUACACAGCAUUUACAUGUUGAAACUUCACCACUAUGACUUACUUUUUGUUAUUCUACUUUUACUCGUAUUUGUUUUCAUUAUUUAGUUAGUAGAGCGGUAUCUUGUUGCCAUGAAUAACUUUUAGUAUUUGUACUCUGGAUCGGUCUAGUGAUUAGUGAUAUCUUGGAUGAGAUAAUUAAUGAUUUUCUUUGGUCAGGUGAUUAUUAGUUAGAUUUGAUCUUUUGGUUUUUCCAGUGGUUGGCUUUUAGCUAUUGCAUCAAUCGCACAACUCAUGAAGAUGUCACCUAAAACCAGGGUCUUGACCCCACAAUUGAUAUUUUUUCUGAACGAGGUGGUCAUUUGACACUACCCUAUGCGUUGCUGUGUUCUAGCUAGGGAUUAGGCCGAUGGCUGAGUAAUUUCUUGGCUAUUGUUUGAGGUUUAUACCGUAUGGGUUUGAUGGUAUUCUAGUUAUUCGUCCAGUUGGAUGAUUUACUUUUGCAUUACAGAAAACUAACGGAUAGUAGUAUAAUAUUCAUUUUCUUUUUGAUUUAUCAAUUUACACUGUCAUAUAAUAUUCUUAUUGGUUUAUUUUCUUUUCAUUUGCCAGUGGGCACACUCUGCCGCGUCGGCUUAAUGGUUGUUGCACUCAAGAUUAGGAAUAUGCUAUCUAUAAGAUAUUAGGAAUAAACUCUAACGUUACUAUAAAAUACUUGGGCGGUGGCGUAGGCAAGAAUUUAAGCGAGUUAAGAUGAUAGGCUAGGGUAAGUUUAGGAUGGGUCCACUAUGGAAAGUAGUUGUUAAUUUGGUAUUAGGCAAUCACAACGAAAGUAUGAUGAUAGUUCGCCUAGCAGAGGUUUGGAGCUAGGCUAAGCCAGAGUCUGAAGUGACAGGCUAUACCAGAGUCUGAAUGACAAGGCUAGCGAUAUAAGUCUCACAACGCCUGAUGAUCUUGGACUGUGUGUGUGAUUCGGCUGAUAAGGACAUCAGGGUCUAAAUAGGGGGAGACUGUGACACCCCAAUAAUCCCACGUUGGAUGGAAAUGGAGUUGUUAUUUGCUAUAUAAGAGGCCAUGAACACUAGUAAUAAUAACUGGGUUUAAGUAUUUUUGGCUGAUGGUUUGGGCUUGAUAAGUUAUUAUUGCUAGUGGGUUGAAUCGUUACAGCGGUAUGCACUGAGAAAUCUCAUGUUGGUUUCUCACCUUCUAUUUUUAUAGGUGACACGAGAGGUAAGGUUCGGGACAAUGCGUGAGGAGCGUUAUAGCUAGUGAGUUUUAGAGGUCCCAUACAUAUUUGUCGAUUGACUCUAGUUAUCCUAUUCUUUAUCCUUAUUUGUUCUUUGAAGAAAUAUACUUUGUUCUGAUUCAGUUAAGCGAUUACUUGUUAAGUUGAAUGCUUGCUUGGUUGAUAAAACUUUGGUUUUAUGGCGUUAUGACCAUUGUGUGGUUUGUGGAUUUAUGAGAAAAAAAUUUCUAACUUUCGUGGUAGUCAGUUUUUAAAAGAAUGAGUUUUCGUGUAGAAAAUAGUUUUUUGUAGUAUUCCUGGUGUUUGGUUACCCGUGAGAUUUCAGCAUCUAAGGUUUGUCGACACAUCUGGAGAGUGUCGGGACAAGUCGGAGUCGUUUUGGCGCUAAAUGGUUGCAAAACAGACUCAGUGCGACGUGAGAGCAGUGUAUUGACAGUGAAAUCUGCAAAGUACAGAUUUUCAGUGCUGAGUACCGGUACCACGCAGGGGAGUACCGUUACCCCAGUCUAUUUUCAGAAUAGUCUGCUCUCGGGUUGCGCCAAUUUGGUGCUGAGUACCGGUAUAGCAUUGGGCUGGUACCGAUACCCGGUGUGCGAGUGUGCGUGCUGAGAGACCGAGUACCAGUAACCAAAUCUGGUGCCGGUACUCCAGCUAGGAUCACUACAACAAAAACGAUCUAUAGCGACACUUUUAAAUGUCGGUACAAGUCAAAAAAAAUGCUGCUGGGUAAAUUACCGACACUUUUAAAAAGUGUUGCUGUAUGUGGGCUCGCUAGGUAUAUAGUAACAGUUAAAGAGUAUCGCUAUAACCUAAAAGGAGUGCUGCUAAUUUACUAACACUUAUUUAAACAUUUAGCAACCGCCGGAACUCUACCUCGUUGGCUGCGGUGGCGGAGGCGAAGGAGAGGGAAGGGCUCUUCGUCUAGAAUUUCAUUGGAUUGAGUGAGGGGAGAAAGAGAGAUGGUAAUCGAUUUUUUUUUUCCUUUUCUUUUCUGUUUGUAAUCGGGCUGAAUGGCCUUUGUGGGGUGGGUUGAGUAGAGUAACCAUUUUAUUUUUGGUUGGAUUGGGCUUUAUAUUUAGGUAUUAAUAGAUUUUUUAAAAAAUUUUGGCAUAAAUGGGACACUUACACAAAAGUGUCCCAAACAUGUGUCGCUAUAACCUAAUUCUGUUGUAGUGGAUUUUGAGUAGGUGAGGGGCCUUUUGGUCAUUUGACGCAUCGUUUAUAUCACCCUUAUCCCCACUGCUUCUUAUACGUGUAGAGAGGCAGGGAGUGAGCCUCUGGUUGCUACUUCCUCUCUCUCUCUAGGUUGGAGUCGUGUGCAUGGUGGAGGCCACGGCUUGAGCUCGGAUCGAUAUCGACGUUACGCCCGAGAGCCGUUCGAGCGUGUAGGCGUCGCGGUUGUACCGUUGGAGGCCGGGCGAGCGCGUCAUUCCUCUCCUUUCGACUUCUCGCCGUAGUUGGAUUGGCAUUUCGAGGUGGGUUGAAGUUUACCGAAAUUGUCGAAAUAUCUUCUAAGUGUUAGCAUCGUCGACAUGUAUCAAUUGUGUAUUUUCUUGCAAGUACUCAAUUCAUGGAUUAGUGUUUAAAUCUGAAUUUUGAGUUAAGCUAGUUGUAUUAUUGUACAUGUUGGACUUGGAAUUGACUUAGGAGAAAACUGUUAGAUUCUACACUGUCACUUUCUAAAAAUUACCAAAUUUAGCUUUAGGAGCUGUGGUUUGUUUGUAUCGCCGCAGUUUGUAUGCGGUGGAUAUUCAGAAUAGUGUAGAAUGAAUUUACGCUCGUGCUGGGAUGCCGAAUUUAUUUUUAUAGUAGUGUGUAGACUGUUUCGGACUGUCGGGUACUGUCGCGGUUGAUGGUGGACCCAGAUUUCUGUAUUUGCAUCAGAUUGUGCCAAGGGCACGUGAGUUUUGGUUGUUAGACCAGUUAGACCUAUUUGCUUUGAUUAUAAUCUGUGAGAGCCUGAUUGAGCUCUGCAGAGACACGCUUGCAUACUCGGUUGGGUCGCGCCCACGAGUGCCGUUCCGGAGUCUGGCUUUGUGCUUUCGCGUUGAUGUCGCUGAUUAGUUGCUCUCCACCAACAACCCAGCGUGGUGGUGGUUAGAGUAGCUUCGACAGGCGGGACGGGUGCGUUCACAGUCCCUAGUGAGAUUUGGUCAGAAAUUGCAUCUUGCUUACAUCUACAGAUAGCUAGUGGUAGUUUUUUUUUUUUGAGAAAUAGAUAGCACGCUACCCGCUUCGUUUAUUUCAUUUAAAAAUAAACUUAGCUUAAUAAGCGAAUCAACUAAGAUUCGAACUUGGGUCUCGGGUACCAACCACCAAGCCCUUUGCCACUUGAUUUAGGAACGGUCAGUAUAGCUAGUGGUAGUUAGCGAUAGUAUAGUGGCAUAUAGCUAUAGAGUUUUAUCGGCUUACUUUACUAUCUUUCUGCAUACUUUCUGUAGACUUAGUGGGUGAGCCGUUAAGGUCGAUAGCGGUACCUACUGAGAACUACUUCUUUUUGCAGUAGUUCUCAUACCUUGUUGUUGACCCCUUUUUGCAGAGCCUUCUUCUGCGGCUGUUGUUGUCACCGAUUCUGAUCGAGAAAAGGGAGUCGCGAGCUAGAUCCCUUCGCUGGUUAUAAUGCUAGAGGAGUACCUCCCACAGGUAGUUUUGGGGUUUUUAUGUACAUAUGGUUGUUAUCUGAAUACUCGCUGGAGCGAGUGNAGGAUUAGGAUGAUAUUAGUCGGUUAGAGUUGAGUGGUCCCCCUAGGGUUGAGUGGUCCCCCAUUGGGUUAUAGUAUUUAAUCCAAUGGCUAGAAAUAAUGAAAAGAGUUGAUCCAAACGCUAAAAAACUGGUAGGAACAACGGAAUUUUGCUAUUAAUAGUAGCCCAGUCCAACUCUAUAUAUAUAUAUAUAUAUAUAUAGUAUGUCUCCUAUGCUUUCGAAAGUAUGAAGGCUUUCGUACUUCUAAGUUGUUUUUGAUGAUGGAGUAUCCGAUUCGGCGAUCGGCUCCGUUAGGCAUGAUCUAUGCUAUUAGAAAUAUUUAGAAACCAAAUUUCAUAAUUUUUCGACAUCAUUUACUAAGCGAUUAAAGAGUCUCAAAAAUGAUUAUUUUAACGGCCGAUGUGGCACGUUUGAAAGUUCAACGGUGUAGAAGAAUCCAAAUUAUAUGAAACUUUAAUAGAAAAUUUUAGUUAACAUCAAGAGUAAGAAUAAUUCUUCAGAUUUGAAAUUUGAGUCUUUUAUCACUAUUUUUUGUGAGAUUUUUAUUUUCAGCCGUUCAUUUUGAUCCUACUCGUUCACUAGGCAAAUGAAGUCAAAAAAUUAUAAAAUUUGGUUUCUAAAUAGUUCCAAUAGCAUAGAUCAUGUCUAACGGAGCUGAUCGCCAAAUCAUAUGCUCCAUCAUUGAAAACAACUUACAAGCACGGAGGCUUCCGUACUUUCGAAAGUAUAGGAGCCUAGCUCUCUCUCUGUCUCUCUCUCUCUCUCUCUCUAUAUGUAUAUAUAUAUAUAUAUAUAUAUAUACGUAUAUAUAUAUAUAUAUACUAUAUAUAUAUAUAUUUAUAUAUACGACGUAUACUAUAUAUUUAUUAUACCGGUAUAGUAUAUAUUAUAUAUACCUAUAUAGUAUAUAGUAUAUUACGAUUAUGACUAUAUAGUAUAUAGCUAUAUAUAUACUAAUAUAUUAUAGCGUGACGUAUACACCUCAAUAUAUAUAUAUAUAAUAUAGCUUUAUAAUAUGACGUACUAUAUACGUAAGGUUACGUAUAUAGUAUAUUACUAGUUAAUAUAGUAUAUAUAUAUAUAUAUAUAUAUUAGUAGUAUUAUAUAUUAUAUAUAAAUUAGCUAUUAUACUAUCUAUAGUACCGGGAGCCUCCGGUACUAUAGUAUUGGUUUUCGGAUCUUAGAGCAUUCAAAAUCAAGCGAUCCCACACCGUUAAAUAUGAUCUAGGGUAUAUGAAGUUCUUAGGAAUAAAAUUUUAGUUCUUUUCGAUAUCGUUUACUUAGUAAAUAAAUUAUGUCAAAAUGGACGGUGGAAAUUGAAUACUCUUUAAAAUUUGAGCAUAGGACUUUUAAAUUCAAGAUCAAUAAUGUUAACCUUAAUCUAUAUAGUUUAAAGUAUUUUCUAUCAAAAUUUGAAGAAAUUUAGAUUCUUCUACACCGUUAAACUCCAAACUCGUCAUAAUAGCCAUUGAAAAUUGACAAUUUUGAAAUGGUUUGAUCAUAAAGUAAACUAUGUCGAAAAAAUAUAAAAUUUUAUUUCUAAAAACUUUAAAUAUCCUACAUCAGUUUUAACGGUGUGGAUCGUUGAUUUGAACGCCCGAAGAUCGAAAACAACACUAUAGUACCGGAGCUCCGGUACUAUAGAUAGUAUAGUAGCCUAGCUCAUAUAUAUAUAUACAUAUAUAUAUAGAAAUAUAAAAUUAUGCUUCUAUACUAUCGAUAAUACCAAGCGGUUGGUGCUAUCGAGUUUUUGGUCAUUGGAUGAAAGGAUGUGCUGUUAGGAUGAUAGUGGUCCCCUAGGAUUGAGUGGGCGGUUGGUUGAAAAGUAUAAUCUAAGGGGUGGAAAUGAUCAAAAUGUAGAUCUAAUGGCAAAAAACUCGAUAGUACCAUGAGCUUGGUACUAUCAAUAGUAUAGUAGCCGAACUCUCUCUCCCUCCCCCUCUCUCUCUCUCUCUCUAUAUAUAUAAAUAUAUAUAGUGUAGUGUUACUAUGCUUUCGAAGGCAUAAGUAAGUUGAUGCUUCCGACUUUUUAUCCUUUGGAUCAAGGAUUGUAGAGUUGGGAUAAUAGCGGUACCCCCUAGGGUUGAGUAGUCCCCAUAGAGUCGUGCCCCUAAGGUAAUAAUGUUAAUCCAAAGGUUAGAAAUGGUCAAAGGGGUUGAUCUAAGGGUAAAAAAGUUUGAUGCACGAAUUCCCUAAUACUUCCAAAAGCAUGUAGCGCGACUCUCUCUCUCCCUCUCUCUCUACAAGGACGUCAGGGUCUAAAUAGGGGGAGUCUGUGACACCACAAUAGUCCCACGUUGGAUGGAAAUGGAGUAGUAAUUUGCUAUAUAAGGGGCCAUGAACACUAGUAAUAAUAACUAGGUUUAAGUAUUUUGGGCCGGUGGUUUGGGCCUGAUAAGUUAUUAUUGCUAGUGGGUUGAAUCGUUACAGUGGUAUCCACUGAGAAAUCUCAUGUUGGUUUCUCACCUUCUAUUUUUAUAGGUGACACAAGCGGUAAGGUUCGGGACAAUGCGUGAGGAGCGUUAUAGCUAGUGAGUUUUAGAGGUCCCAUACAUAUUCGUCGAUUGACUCUAGUUAUCCUAUUCUUUAUCCUUAUUUGUUCUUUGAAUAAAUACACUUUGUUAUGAUUCAGUUAAGAGAUUGCUUGUUAAGUUGAAUACUUGCUUGGUUGAUAAAACUUUGGUUUUAUGGCGUUAUGACCAUUGUGUGGUUUGUGGAUUUGUGAGAAAAAAUUUUCUAACCCUCGUGGUAGACAGUUUUUAAAAGAUUGAGUUUUCGUGUAGAAAAUAGUUUUUUGUAGCAUUCUUGGUGUUUGGUUGCCGUGAGAUUUCAGCAUCUAAGGCUUGUCGACACAUCUGGAGAGUGUCGGGACAAGUCGGAAUUGUUUUGGCGCGAAAUGGACGCAAAACGGACUCAGUGCGACGCGAGAGCAGUGUAUUAACAUUGAAAUCUGCAAAGUGCAGAUUUUCAGUGCUGAGUACCGGUACCACGCAGGGGAGUACCGUUACCCCAGUCUAUUUUCAGAACAGUCUGCUCUCAGGUUGCGCCAAUUUGGUGCUGAGUACCGGUAUAGCAUCGGGCUGGUACCGAUACCCGGUGUGCGAGAAUGUGGGCUGAGAGGCCGAGUACCGAUAACCAAAUCUGGUUCCGAUACUCCAGCUGGGAUUUUGAGUAGGUAAGGGGCCUUUUGGUCAUUUGAUGCAUCAUUUAUAUCACCCUUAUCCCCACUGCUUCUUAUACGUGUAGAGAGGCAGGGAGUGAGCCUCUGGUUGCUACUUCCUCUCUCUCUUUAGGUUGGAGUCAUGUGCAUGGUGGAGGCCACGGCUUGAGCUCGGAAGUCAACGUUACGCCCGAGAGCCGUUCGAGCGUGUAGGCGUCGCGGUUGUGCCGUUUGAGGCCGGGCGAGCGCGUGAUUCCUCUCCUUUCGACUUCUCGCCGUAGUUGAAUUGGCGUUUCGAGGUGGGUUGAAGUUUACCGAAAUCGUCGGACUAUCUUCUAAGUGUUAGCAUCAUCGACAUGUAUCAAUUGUGUAUUUUCUUGCUAGUACUCGAAUUUAUGGAUUAGUGUUUAAAUUUGAAUUUUGAGUUAAGCUAGUUGUAUUUAUACAUGUUGGACUUGGAAUUGACUUAGGAGAAAACUGUUAGAUUCUACACUGCCACUUUCUGAAAAUUACCAGAUUUAGAUUUAGAAGUUGUGGUUUGUUUGUAUCGCCGCAGUUUGUAUGCGAUUGAUAUUCAGAAUAGUGUAGAAUGAAUUUAUGCUCGUGCUGGGAUGCCUAGUUUAUUUUUACAGUAGUGUGUAGACUGUUUCGGACUGUCGGAUACUGUCGCGAUUGACGGUGGACCCAGAUUUCUGUAUUUGCAUCAGAUUGUGCCAAGGGCACGUGAGUUUUGGUUGUUAGACCAGUUAGACCCAUUUGCUUUGAUUAUAACUUGUAAGAGCCUGAUUGAGCUCGGCAGAGACACGCUUGCAAAUUUGGUUGGGUAGCGCCCACGAGUGCCACACCGGAGUCGGGUUUAGUACUUUUGCGUUGAUGUCGUAGUGUCCUGGUUGGACUUGCUCUCCACCAACAAUCCAGCAUGGUGGUGGUUGGUGUAACUUCGACAGGCGAAACGGGUGCGUUCACAGUCCCUAGUGAGAUUGGGUCAGAGAUUGCAUCUUGCUUACAUCUACAGAUAGCUAGUGUUAGUUAGCGAUAGUAUAGUGGUAUAUAUCUGUAGAGUUUUACCAGCUUCCUUUACUAUCUUUCUGCAUAUUUUCUGUAGACUUAUUGGGUCAGCCGUUGAGGUCGAUAGUGGUACCCACUGAGAACUACUUCUUUUUGCAGUAGUUCUCAUACCCUAUUGUUGACCCCUUUUUGCAGAGCUUUCUUCUGCGGCUGCUGUUGUCGCCGAUUCUGAUCGAGGAAAGGGAGUCGCGAGCUAGAUCCCUUCCCUGAUUACAAUGCCAGAGGAGUACCUCCCACAGGUAGUUUUGGAGUUUUAUGUAUAUAUAGUUGUUGUCUGGAUACUCGCUGGAGCGAGUGGUGUAGUAGACAUUUUGUAUGUACUGGAACUCUCGAGGUUUAUAUAUAUAUAUACGUAUAUGUUUUUAGUUUAACAGCUCAUUACCUUGUGGUUGUAGCUUGAUUUAUUUACAGGUACAACUAUGGCUUCGUAUACAAAAAAAAUUCUUAUGUAUACGGCAGGUCUGUUGGCGUGUUCGGGGAAGCGUGUAAUCCAGGGCGUGACAUUUUUAAAAUGAUUUUUCGUGUGGGUAAUAUUUUUAAAAGACAGAAUUAUUUGAUAUUUUGUGCAUUCGCAUCAUUGCGUCUAAGAAGUGUUUAGAUGAAUGUACAUGGCAUGCAUCAUCUUUCUGAGGACUGAUUAGCUGCAUGAACAGUUGCAUUCUACUAUUGCUGGUUGUGUGAGUGGAUAUUGUGUAUUGUGGUAAUAUAUCUAAUGGUACACCGUACAAAUAUAAGGAGGACUCUAUUGGCUAAUAUUAUUUUCAAAUUGACCCUUUUUCGAAAAGACUAGCUUCAUAAAAUGGGUCCUGGGGCGUACCAUAAAAAUAAGAAGAAAAUUAGUUAUCAGCUAUCUACUUUUUACUACAUCUAAUGUGUAAUCUUUUCCAACUUUAUUUAGAAUAAUUAUCUCUAUAAAUUAUUGGUUUAAAAUUUUCAUAUUUUUAUAAAAAUGGAUAAUUUUUGAAAAAAUUAAUUUAUGAUCCUUUAGAAAAUUAAAAUUUAAAAUUAUUUGUGCGCAAAGCAAUGAUUAACAACUAGUUUAUUUUGAAAUUAAUAGAAUAAGAAAGAUCUAGAAGUAAGAAUCCCCUAUCUGACAUCUUUACUUUGCUUCAAAAUAGAUUCUUUCCCAAAGUGGCAAGUAAAAAUCAUACUUUCAUAGCCAAAGUUUUAGUUUUCGCAAAAUGACGAGACAAUUAUUGAUACAUGACAAUUACAUUUUAAACUAUUAUGGAAAGCGUUUAGAAAUACAAAACAAAUUUGUAUAUGCAGUUAAUAUAUCAAAGUUUGUUUAAAAAAGUUAUCUUUAUAAAUAAUUAGGUUUUGAAUUUUUUUUAUAAUUUCUAUAGAAUGUAUUAUUUUCCUUAAAACUAAUUGCUAUUUUUUAAAAAACAAAAUUUUAAAAUAUUUUUGUGCAAUGCACAGGUUAAUAACAAAUUAAUUUUGAAAUUAAUCGACCAUAGAAUACUAAAGCAAAGAAUCCAAAACCUUGCUUCUUUAAUUUGCUUUAAAAUUUAUUCCUUUUCAAAGCAACAAGCAAAAUAUCAUAGUGUAGAGCAAAAACUUCUCGUCUCACCCCGCAAGCCAAAUUGUUGAUACGUUGCAAUCUUACCUAUCACAAUUAAAUUUUUAUAAUUACAAAAGGUUUAAACAAUUGAGUAAAUGUUACAAAUAGGAAAGAAAUAUUGGCACGCAAUCGGUAUACCUAUCUGCAACUAAAUCAUUCCUAUAAGUAACUAGGUUAUAGAUUUUUUGUGAUUCCUCACUUCCCGUGGAAUAAUCUAUUCUAGAAUUACUCUAGCCCAAGCACGCAUAAUCUUCUUAACUUUUUGGGCGUAACCACCGCCCAAAAUAUUAUACUCAGAUUUAAAAAUUCACAACUACCAGAUAAUGUGGAAUUCGUCUCACUAGCCGGCCUUAGCUGACCUUGUGGAGAGCCACUCUCUACCCACAAUGAUCGUUAAUCGGGAAACCACCCCACUGCCUAACAUACAAUAGUCGAGUUAAGAAACUCACAAGCGUCAGGCAAUAUGAGACUAUACUUCUUGCUAAUGAUUUGCUCUAAUACCAACUAUGACGCCCUACUUUCCAGGGUGUCGCCCAUUUUAGAACAACUCUAGUUCUAACACGUUUAAUCUUCUUAACCUCUUGGGUAUAGCCAUAGCAUUGUAACGACCCAUCUUUCUAGUAAUAUAACUCGCUGAAUCCAAACUACUAACCUAAAUUCUUAAGCCCGAUGAUUAUUAUUAGUUUCAAUAGUCUCUUAUAUAUCUAAUCACAAUUCAAUUCCUAUUCGAUGUUAGACUAUUCGGGUGUCAUAAACUUUAACAUCCUCAUCAGCCAAUUAAUCAUACAUACAACCCAAGGUCAGCAGGCGAUGUGAUACUUGUCUCGCUAGCCUUGUCAUUCAAAUCUUGGCAUAGCCUGUCAUUCUGACCCUUUCUCAGCCGAGACUCAUCUUGCACUUCCGACAAGUGAUUAGCUCUGAUACCAAAUGCAAGGACUCGAAUCACAAGCAAUAAUCACUCAUUGGGCUCAUACCAUUAGCCCAAAAUUCUUAAGCUCAGUAAUUAUUACUAGUGUCUAUGAUCUCUUAUGUACCAAAUCAUAAUUCCUAGUAUGGAACAUUUUCUUUUCCAAGUGAAAUCCCCUAGUAUAUGAAAGAAUGAAAAAGUGCUUUCGUUGUUGUGGAAUAAGAAGCCUUCGUAUCUUAAUGCAUGUAUUUAAUUGUGAGACUAUUGGGGUGUCAAAAUGCUAUAGUCCGAUUAACGGGUUUAACCCUAUUAUAAUAUAUAGGAUUAUUCCAAAUUCUAAGAAUAUCAUAUUUUUGAUAAGUUUUUAUAAAACAAACUAUUUUACGCCAAACAAAUUUAUAAUUUUCUAAAAAUAAAAUUUUAAAAUUAUUUGGAUUUAACUCAUCGGUUAGUGACUAGUUUACUUUCAAAUUAAUUGACCCAAGUAUAUGGAACCAAAGAAUCCCCAAUCUAACAUCUUUAAAUUGGUUUAACCUAUGUUCGUUUCCAGAGUGGCAGGUAAAUAAUUAAUCAUACUAUUGCACCUAAAACUUCAUUUUUCGCCAAGCAACAAGUCAAAUUAUUGAACAUACAAUCUUGCUUAAAAUAAUUCCAUUAUUUAUAAUGAAAAAAAAAUUUAAACUAUUAUUGAAAGUACUAAAAUUUAGAAAAAAAUUUGGGUACACAGUCAGUCCAUAAAUAUAUAGCUACAUCUAAUAUGUAACAUUAUAAAAUCUUAUUUUGAAAAAUUUUCUCUACAAAUAAUUAGUUUUUAAAAAUAUUUUAUUAAAAAAUAUCUCUACAAAUAAUUAGUUUUUCAAAUUUUAAAAAUUUUUAUACAAUAGAUUAUUUUUCCUAACUUUAAUUUAUUAUUUUUUAAAAGUAAGAUUUCAAAAUUAUCGGUAUACAAUGGACCGAUUAGCAACUAGUUUAUUUAGAAAGUAAUUAAUCAGCACAAGAAUAGAACAANUUUUAAAAUUAUCUGUAUACAAUGGACCGAUUAAUUAGCAACUAGUUUAUUUAGCAAGUAAUCAGUACAAGAAUAAAGCAAAAAAACCCACCAACCCUCCACCUUUAUUUUGUUUUAAAAUUGGUUCUCUUUUAAAAUAGCAAGCAAAGAAUCAUAUAACAAGCCAAGUUGGUGACACAUACCAAUCUUAUUUAAGACCACUAGAUUGUUUAUAAUUAAAAAGAUAUUAAAUUUUUAUGAAAAGAGCUUAAAAUAAGAAAGAAAAAUGGAUAUGCAACUAGUAAAUAUAUCUAUCUAUAACCACAUCAUAUAUAAUAAUGUCCAUCCUUAUUUUAAAAAUUUAUAUCUGCAAAUAAUUAAAUUUUAAUCUUUUUAUAAAUUUUAUAACAAGAUAUUUUUCCCAAAAUUAAUUUAGUAUUUAAAAGAUAAAAUUUUAAAAUAUCCGUGUGCAAUGCAUUAGUAAGCAACUAGUUUUUUAAAAUUAAUUGAGACAUAAUACAAAUCAAUGAAUCACAAUACUACAUCUUUAAUUUGUAUUAAAAUAUAUAAGUUCCUUUCUAAAGCGACAAGUACAAAGAAUCAUAUUUCUGUGGCCAUGCAUAGUUAUUGCUUUCCCCAAGUGGCCAACUAAAUUAUUAAUGUAUGGUAAUCGAUUUUACUUAUGGUAAUGAUAUUUGUUUAUAAUAAAAAAAUAUUUAAACUAUUAUAGAAAGAGUUAAGAAAAGAAAAUAAAAUUGGAUGUGCAAUUGGUAUACCUAUUUAUAGCUUCGUCUUUAAUUUUCUUUAAAAUAGGUUCCUUUUCAAAGGGACAAGCAAAGAAUAAAACUUUAUUUCUCGUACCUCCUUAUAAGUACAUCGAAAGUCAUUUGAAUCUCUCUGCUCCUCUUUCUCCUUAACACAUAUACACAGAUUUAGUGAUUCAAUACAUUGAAAGCCAUUUAGAUCUCUCUGCUGCUCUUUCUCUUUAACGCAUGAAUGGAUAUUUAGCCAUUUGGAUCUCUCUACUGCUAUUUUUCCUUAACACAUGAAUAGAGAUUUAGCGAUUCAGGUACGCACAUAUUUAAUUUUUUACAUUAUUUUUAUUGCCUAUCUUUUAAUUAUUUCAGUCAAAUUCUAUUAUUUCUUACCGUAAUUGAGGUUUGAGACUCAUUUAUUCAAUAGGGAGUAAGCCUCUUAAAUAACACCAUUACAUGACUAACAAAGAAAAAAACUUCUAAUAAUAUAAGAAAAUUACUCAAAUAUUCAAUCAAGUUUAAAAGGAAGGAAAGGACAUUCUAAUAUGAUAUAUGUUAACAUAUGGAAUGCAUAAUAUCUUUUAGAUUUCGAAGAGAGUCGAUUUUUUCUUGCUUUAUUUUAGCUUUACUUGAUAUUCCGUGACACCUCAAUAGUCUCAUAUUAGAUGAGAAUGAGAUUGUGAUUGAGUAGAUUCUUUGACCCUAUUAAUAAUAAUUGGGUAUAAGCAUUUUGGGCCAGUGAUUUGGACCCAACUGAGUUAUUAUUGUUAGUGGGUCAAGUCGUUAUAUUUAGUAUCAGAGUCGGUUCACUAGCCGAAAGUGUAAGCGGGCCUUACAUUGCUUAAUGAUCUUAGGCUGUGUGUAUGAUUGCACUGACCAAAACGUCAGGACCUAAACAGGGAAAAUCUAUGACACGUCAAUAUUCCCAUAUCGGACGAGAAUGAGAUUAUGAUUGAGUAUAUAAGAGAACAUGAAUCCUAAUAAUAAUAAAUGGUCUUAAGCAUUUUGAGCUGAUGAUUGGGGCCCAAUAAGUUAUUAUUGCUCCACCAGCCCAAUCAUGGGCCAUAAUAAUAAUAAUAACUGAGUUAAGUAUUUUGGUUUUGCGUAAUUGUCAUCACAAUUUACUUAUAACCCGAAAGUAAACCACGAGAUACUAUUUUUAAAAACUACGAAUUUUCACGCAUAAACUGUGUAGGGCUCUAUAUUACAUUUAAUGCUUUCACAUUUGAGUGUUAAGGCAUCUAGAUUUGAGUUCUAGAUAGAAAUAUUGGUUUAUAAGACACAAAAAUAAAAUUUCGCCGGUUAGGCUAUUAAUUUGUUUUCUGAAGCUCUAUAUUAAUAUUGUGUAGCUAUUAAUUAAUCGGAAUUUCGAUGGAUUUCAUCGCUAUUUAUGUACAAAUUUAAAAUACAUGUUCAUUUAAAAAUAGCUUUGUGCCACAUCGCGCGCGCAAUUUCAAAGCGAAAUUAUAUAAUUCAUUCAUAUUAAAUUGUACUAAAACUCUACAUUGCGAACAUAGUUAAUUUGUCCAGGUUUCAGAUUAAGUUCAACUAAAACUCUACGUCCUAGAUUCAUUCUCCAAAUUUAAACUCUACAGUUCAUGUUUUAAUUGAAGUAUAGCAAGUAAAAAAUUAUACUUUGUAGCGAAACUUUCGCCAAAUGACAAGCCAAGUUGUUGGUACAUACCAAUCUUAUUUAAGACAACUAAAUUAUGUAUAAUUAAAAAGAUUUUAAAUUGUUAUGAAAAGAGCUUAAAAUAGGAAAGAAAUUUGGUUAUGUAAUUGGUGUAUCUAUCUAUAACUAUAUCAAAUAAAUAAUAAUAUCUAAUCUAAUUUAAAAAAGUUAUGUCCGCAAAUAAUUAGAUUUUAACCUUUUUAUAAUUUUUUGUAUAAUAUAUUAUUUUUCUAAAAUUAAUUUAUUAUUAAAGAAAUAAAAUUUUAAAAUAUCUAUGUGCCAUGCAUGGGUUAGCAACUAGUUUAUUUUGGAAUUACUCGAAACAAAGAAUAAUAUAUAUUGGUUCCUUUCUAUAGUAGCAAGAAAAGAAUCAUAUUUCUAUUACUAUAGUUACUGCUUGGCUAGCUAAAUUAUUGAUAUAUGGCAACUUUAAUUAAGGUAAUGAUAUUACUUAUAAUAAAAAGGGUUUAAACUAUUAUAGAAAGAGUUAAAAAUAGAAAGGAAAUUUGGAUAUGUAAUUAAUAGAUCAAUUAUAGCUUCAUCUUUAAUUUUCUUUAAAUUAAAUAAGUUCCAUUCCCAAGUGACAAGCAAAGAAUCACACUUUAUUUCUCACACCUCUAUAUAAAUACGUUGAAAGCCAUUUGGAUAUCUUUGUGCUCUUUUUUUUAAAUCACGGAUAGCCAUUUAGCUAUUUAGAUACACACAUAUUUAAUUUUUUACAUUAUUUUUAUUAUUUAUCUUUUGAUUUUGAUUUUCCUUUUCUCAGGUUCGGUUAUUAAAUUUUUAUUGUAAUUGAGGUUGAAGACUUUGAUUUAUUUAAUAAGAAUUAAAAUCCUUAAAUAAUACAAUUACACGACUUUGAUUUAUUAAUUUCUUUUUUUUCAUAACUGUCAUCGCCAUUUUACCAGUUCUAUCAGAUUUAUAAUUAAGUCUUAAAAGACAAAUAAAAACCAUGAGAUAAUAUGAUUUUUAAAAACUACGAAUUUUCAUGCAUAAACUAUGUACGUAGGGUUCUAGAUUACAUUUAAUGCAUUUCAUUUGAGUGUUAAAGCAUGCAAAUUUGAGUUCUAGAAAUAUUGAUUUAUAAAGAAGACAAUAACCUUUCACCAAUUAGGCUAUUAAUUUAUUUUUCGUAGUUCAAUAUUAAUAUUGUGUGGCUAUAUUAAUGAGUUUUUCGAUGGAUUUCGUUUCCCUGUUUAUGCACAAAUCUAAAAUACAUGUUAUUUGAAGAUAAUAAUCUAUUUAAUAGAUAUUAUACUAAAAUAGUAUCGUCACGAUAGCGUUGUGCCACUUGGUACUAUUUAGCAACGUUAGAGUUUCCAAACCAAUGAUUAGCAACAUUGAAUAUGAUCUGGACCUUUUAAACUAUUUAGAAAUUAGAUUUCAUGCUUUUUCAUAUACUAUUCCCUUGUCCAUAUCCAUCAAGUAGACAUAAAAUGAAGGGCUAAAAAUGAAUAUACUUCAAAAAGUGAUGAUAUAAUUUUUAUAUUCAAGAUCUAAUGUCUAGAUCUUGUUUUUAAAUAGUUUAAAAAAGUUUCUAAUAAAAAUUUAGCUAAUUUGGAUUCUGCUUCACCGUUAAAUAAUCAAACGCACUUUAUCAGCCAUUAAAAUUAUAAAUUUUGUGACAUUUUGAUCGUUCGAUUAACGAUGCCGAAAGGUUAUGAAAUUUUAUUUCUAAACAAUUUAAAAAGUCUAUAUCAUGUUCAACUGGGCUGAUCGUCGAUUUUGUAAACUCUUUCAUCAAAACUAAAUUGGUAGCUAGUAAGACUAAGCUGUUUACUACCAAUAGUAUCCAAUUCUCCUACUCCUAGAUAUGAUAUAGUAACAUUAAUCAGGUCAAGAUUGUUUCCUUACCUAUUUAUACUGGAGAUACUUUAUCAAUAUUCCUCCAUUUGUGCAAUUCUUGUACAAACUAAAUAUAAAAUCCUAAAUCUUAACAUGAAUAAUUAAAAAAAUGGCCAAUUUAAAAACAUAGUCAGUAAAAAAUGCCCCAAAUUUUAUUGAAAAAAACAACCUUGCCCACAGAACGGAAUAGACCUACGACAAAUAUAAGGAUUCCUCUGCCCACGUGGAUAAAGUCUACCCUAUAUUUGCAUGGCGUACCACUUGUUACAAAUACCACAUCACACAACAUCCACUCACACAAUUCAGUAAUCAGAAAAUGCAUAUGCUCAUACAGUUAAUGAAUUCUUAAAAAGAUGAUGCAUACUUUAAGCACUUCUUAGGCGAACAAUUAUGUGAAUGCACAAUACAUCAACCAAUUCUAUCUUUUAAAAGUAUUUCUCACCUGAAAAUUUUAUUUUGAAAACCAAAAUAUGGGAUAAAUCUAAAAAAAACUAUUUGAAAAUUAUUUUCCACACAGAAAUUCAAUUAUUUGAAAACUGACUACUACGAGGGGUAGAAGAUAUUUUUAAGCAUAAAUCCACAAGCUACCUAUAACUCAGAAUCUCUUCUUCUUUUUCUUUCUAAUGAAUUGAAAAGACAGAUUCCAUUCAAUAAUGAAUAAGAUUGAACAAGAAAGAAUACAGAAUACUCAAUAAAAAAUAGAAGAAAAACUUCAAUUUGCCCAUCCUGUGAUUUAGCGUAUUUUUACUUUACCACGUUGCGGUUCAUAUAUAGAUGUACUUAACUACCCUGCGCUUUUUCAUUUUUGUUUCAUCAUAAAAACUUGCUGUUAAUUAUGGUCAUAAAGUGGUAAUUUUUAAAAAGUCACAAGGUGGUAUUCUGUUUGACUCUAUUUGACUAAAAAUAAAUAAAUAAAACCACGUGUGUGACAUUUUGAAUCGCACGGUCGCAAAAUGAAAGCAAUUAACCUAGACCAAGAAUAAUUUUGUAUAAAUUUUUAAAUCACAGUGUGGCAAAUGAAAAUAUACUAGACCAAAGAGGGGUGAAUUGAAGUUUACCCCCCGAAUCAUAAUAAGGGCUGUGCAGCAGUCUAAUGGUGUAUGUAUUCUAUCCAGUCUAGCUUGUCGAUUUCCAUGCGGAGCUAGCAGGCCAGGAGGAUUAAUUAAGAAAGGGCGAAAUUAACUCGGUGAAUGCUCUCUAUCACCAUAGAUAGAUGGAUUGAUUAAAACCUAGCUAUCGAUCGCCAUGGACAUCUUUUCAUUCAAGUACGAAUCUGCAAAGCGUGCUGUGCUUAGAAUCUUGCUCGAUGGGUCCGCACACAAGAUGUACGUGGAGGCGUGGAGGGGAGUCGGGGCAACCGCUUUACUCCGAGAGGUGGCGGAAGAGGUCGAGGCGCGGGGGAAGCGCAAGUUUGAGACGGUGAUCCAGGUGGUGCUGCCCGCACCAUUUCGGAACGGCAGGGAGAUGCAGAGGGCGGUGGCGGAGCAGCUGAAUCUUCUACUACCAUUACCUCCUUCGGUGACGGCUGCUGCUUUCGACGCGGCGGACGAAGACGACGACUUCUCGGGUGUGGAAUUCAGCUAUAGAGACCCGCUUUCGGAGGUCGCUGAGGAGAUAAACAGAGCCGUGAGGGAUCGUAGUGGUGUGCUGCUCGUCCUUUGCAAUAAUAUUGCGGGUGGCAAAUUAAUCGACGCUAAUGGUUUGGGUAUUCCUAUCGAUAGGCAGGGGAGCCAGAAUGCGGUCUUGUGGACCUCUGGGAUGAAUAUUAGCAGGGAAGGUGCGUCAGCAAGUGCGGAUUUGAUUGUAAAGAUUGAGCCACCGAACAAAGCUGCCGCACUUGAUCUUGUGUACAAGGAGGCCGUCAGGAUUGCCCGUUACAUUGACGAGAGCAGCGGUGGGCGCUUGCGGACCACCCCACUAAUAGUCCUCCACUGCUUUUGGUAUUGCCUGCUGUUGUUGCGUAGAGCAGCGUUUAAUCCAUCGGCACUACUACUACCCGAUGGUGGUCGGCCCCUGGAAGCUGCUGUCAAGUAUUUUGUAUGCGACGGAAUUUUACAAGGAGAUGAUGCGGCGGCGUGGGAGAUUGGGAAAGCACUAGCUCCGGUGAUUGGAUCCAUAGUAAAUGAUCAAUAUUGGCAGGAAGAAAUAACCUCUUCCACUUGGACACCGAGGCUGUCUGAGUUGCGGUUGCCCCCGAAAACUUUGUUGAUCGACUCUAUCACACAAGGAGAUUGGGUAAAAUCAUUGUCAUUGGAGACGAAGAGUUACCGUUGGAUCUCAAUAUGCUCUCCUCAAAAUAAUAAUCCAGAGCCAUGGGAUUUCCUAUCCAAAUUAUAUGGCAGUUCAGUCAUGUCUGAUGUUUCAUCCUUUUCUGGGCAUUUUGAGAAAACACUCAAAGCUCUACCAUACGACUUCUUCGACCAUUUCAGCAACGUUCGAGUGCUGGACCUUCUCGGCUGCAUAGUAAGUCCUAUAGGACAUUCCUCCUUUCUUCGUCUUUGCAACCUGAGAAUGCUUAGGCUGGAGCGGUGUGAAGUAACUUCUCUUGAUCCUAAUUCUCAUUCGUCAGCACCAGAGGGACGACGAGAACCAAUACUUUUUGAUAACUUAUGGGUCCUGAAUUUAUACAACUCGGAUGCCGGUGCAUUUCUUCUAGCAGGGAAAGCCUUUGAGCUCAUGCCUAAUCUUUUGGAGCUCGAUCUCAAAGAAGGAACUUCUCUCCUACACCAAAUAGCUCUGAAUGAACUUCGAGAGCACAUGCACAGAUUGGAAGUUUUGAAACUAUCAGGGAACGUCAGUACUAACUUUUUGCCAAGGAGCCUAUCAAUGGCAAUCAGCCUCAAAGAGCUUAUUCUCAACGAUUGCAACGGGUUAGAAUAUCUAAACUUCAAUCUCCCUGCAACAAUUGAAACAAUCAGCCUACAAAGGUGCGCAUCGCUAAAAGAGGUGGAGCUAGUCGACCCUGCAGCAGCUCCUUUGCCCAACCUCAAGACCUUCCGCCUCAGCGGCUCUAAGCUGAUCGCCAAGCUCUCCCCACAGGGAUGCCGUAAGUUGGAGAACGUAGACCUACAGGAAUUGACGGGGCUCGAGGUGCUCGAUCUUUCAUGCACCACAAUAAAAGCGGUGGAUAUCAGCAAACUCUCACAACUGAAGCAAUUAUUUCUCCUCGGAUGCGAGCAACUCCGUAGAGUAGCCGGUCUUGAUAAAGGACCAAGACUAGAUGUGCUGUACUUGGAUAACUACAAUGGCGGCGGUGCUUGCGACGUCGAUCCGUGCCUUGAUUCCUUUCAAAAUCAAAGACAAAGUGAGUUAACCAAGGAAACUAAUGAUGCUGAUCAAAGAUUAUUCCAUGCUCAUGUGGUCGUGAAGGAUGUUAGGCUCUUCCGGUCACUUCGUGAUGCUUUUCCUGACUCAAGCAGAGCAAAAUCCCGCUUCCAUAUCCACGUCAAGGGUUCUUCAACUGCUAAGAGAGGCACUAAUAUUGGUACUACCACCAGAUCGAAUGCUACUAUAACGUCGGCAUCAUGUUAUGCAGAUGUUUUAAACACUAUGAUCGAUCGUCACCGUCGACAUCACCCGUCGCCACCUGCUAUGCACCUGAAUAAUCACAUAGAGGUUGAUGGAGGUUGCGAUUCUCGAAUAGUAGAGGAAAUUGGAUUUACAAGUAUAAUGGCAUUUGCUAAUUCUUUAUUUAUUCGUGGCAACACAUCUAAUUUUACCAUCAGCAUUCCAUUAAGAGAUCUCAAAUGUUUACGCAUUAAGAGGUGCCCUAACAUGGAGUUUAUCUUCUCCUGGGGGGAUGAGUAUAAUUAUUUGUUGGAAUCAGAGAGCAUAUGGCUCAGCCAACUUCCGAGGCUCAAAGCUUUAUGUAGAGAAGGAAGGAUUGAGCAACUGAAGCAUAUUGACUUGGAGUUUUGUGCGAGACUAGAAUACGUAUUUUCCUCACUCUCGGAGCUACACGAGUUGGAAACAAUCAAAAUCCGUUAUUGCUGCAAUCUAAAGGCAAUUUUCAUCGUUGAUUAUGUUUGUUAUCCAAAGCUACUUCCGAAACUGAGGUCCAUCCAUCUACAAGCGCUUCCAAAGCUACGGCACAUAUGCGAGCCUAACAUUAAUGCUCCGUUGCUAGAGGAGCUCAAGUUGAGAGGGUGUUUUAAUCUCAGAAAGCUUCCUCUUGUUGGCCAGUCAAACGCUCGUUCAGUGAGAGCUGUGAAGAUUAGCUGCGAGAAGUAUUGGUGGGAUAAGCUACAACGGUAUGGUUUAAAAUCCUAUCGCCUCUCUUCUCUCUACAACCCAAAAUUUUCUCCUGAUUAUAAGAAGCCUAUGAAAGCUAGAUAGUUAUGGAGCACAGCUCUGCUCCAAUGUUCAUAUGCAUGGUGAACCAUCUCUCUCUCUCUCUCUAUAUAUAUAUAUAUAUAUUACUUGUAUAUUUGUGUGUAUACACUCUCACGUGUGCUUAAUCGUGUGCAUCUAUAUAUAUCGAUGUUAGCCAAGUUCUUCAUAUGCUUUGGAGAAAUAAGCUAACCAUAGCGCAGCAUGGUCUCUCUUUUCUAUUUAUAGGUGUGUGAGUUUGUCUAUGUACAUGUGUAAAACAUAUUAUAUAUAUAUAUAUAUUUUUGAUUUCUUGAGACUUGGAGUAUGUAACAAAGAAAAUGUCUGAGUGUGUAUUUGACUCUUUAUUGAUGACAAUAAGGACAACAUAUAUUAAUUUUUUGUAUCUUAUUUUCUACUCUCUAUCCCUGAUUGUUUUCUCAAAGUUGUGUGAACAAAUUCUAUUUGCAUUAAUUUAUGUUACACAACUGAUAAAUUACACAAAAUGAUAAUGUAGUCAAGGUUUUCUAAUACUUUUUUGCAUGAUUAUUUAGUUCCUACGUUAAUAGCUGGAUAAAUUUGAAUUGAAUUAGCAAAACCUAUGUAAAUUUGUGAAAUUCUUUUUGUAGAUCGGCCUGCUUUGAUUCUAGCUAGAGAGCUCCAAAGAAUAAAUAAAUAAAUAAGUAAAUAAAGUACUCUCGAAGGAACACGAAAAGACUUUACAUUCUCUAUUAGAUCUUGUGAAUUAAUAUUAACGUUCCCUAUUAAUUACAACCGCUUAUAAAACUAUCAAAUAGUGUUUAUUAUCUACUUUCUAAUUCUUGGAUCAAAUACUACUCAACCUACAACCACUUAUAUAACCCACGGAAUCCAAAGGCUAAAAUAAUGGAAAGCAUACACUAUUCCUCUGCUGUCGAUAGUAUUAUAGCUUUACUCCUCUAUAACAUCCUGUAAAUUAGUAGGUUGUGAUUUAUUCCUCUGCUAAGUAAUGUUUGAAGGUCUUAUUUAAAUCAUUAUUAUUAGCUAAUGUUUUUGGCAUUAUUGAUUGAGAAAUUUUAACAUUUUUUAUCAAAAUUUCUCAAAAUUGAAGUCAGUUUAUUGGCCUUUACUUACUCCAUCAAGAAAAUCAGAAUUAAUGGAUGACUCUGUUUGUUGGUGUGUGGUAUGUGGGAGUUCCAUUCCGACUCUGAUUUACAGGUGAUGAGAAUUUCUCAUUCACAACUUUUCUAAUAUGGUUUAGAAGGCUGGAUUGAAAAUUGAAUUCAGGCAACACGAAACUGGUUCUUAAAUUCAAAAUGUGGCUAGGCCACGUUUCUUCGGACCAUGGACGAGAACGGCGCCCCGGCCUGUAGGCUUUAUUCAAAAUGUGUUUCUUAAAUUUAAGUUACGGCCUGUAAAUGCAAACUGCCAAUCAAAUUAUAACCUUGUCUUAUACAUUGAAGGAAGAAAAAUUAACUUUUAGGACAUGCUUGUUUCACCAAAAAUUAGAGUUGGGUGAAGUCAUUUUCGGCCAUAAAUAACAAUUUUCGUUAUUUGAUUUGUCGUAAAUUAAAUUCGCCUGUAACUCCAUGUUUCCAAAACACCAUAAUUGACUUCGCCCCGGUGGCAGUGAUACCGAAGAAAGAGGUAGAAAACAAUGAUGAAAAAUUAAUUGUUGUAACUCUUUUCACCCUCUUAUCUUCUAACAUGAAAAUUUUUGUAUAACAAAUAGUAAUGAAAAAAUAGUUGGCUAAAGAGUUGAUGGUUGGUACCGAGAUUCCAAGUUCGAAGCACAGUUAUUUUAUAUUUCUAGCUGAAUUAAUUUUUUAAAAAAUGAACGAAAUGGUUGCUUGCUACCUUGCCAUCAGAAAAUAAAAUAUAUAUAUAUAGGAUAACGAUAGUUAAAAAACCCUCAACUUCCAAUCAAGUAAAUAGCAAUAGAAAAAUAAUUUUCAUGUGGACUUUAGUUCAACUAGUAAGUCACUAUUAAUUUCAAAACCAAUUCCGGGCAAAAUCAAUUCGCGAUAAUGUCAAAUUCUUGUCAAGUUUUACUCAUUUUCACAAAUAAUAUUAGGUCAAUCAAUGUUUAAUAACUAAUAGAAUCAUUAAAUUUGAAUUUGAUUAAACAGGGGUAUACCCUAUUUGAGAGUACAAAUAAGGUUCAGUUGGAAAGCGAUAAGCGAAGCAAGCUAAAGUAAACAGGGAAACAAGAAAAGAAGCGAAAACAGGGAAGAGGCCCCAACAGAACAAGAAGAAUGAAGGAGAUUUGGAAGCCAACAUAGUUGCAGAACAGCUGCAAAACACUCGGCCGUCGGCGAGACCACAGUUUAAUCAUCCUUCCCCGAGCGACAUCUUCCACAAUCGCACCAUGCAGAGAAUGCUCUGUCCCAGGAAUUCGCUCUGAUGGAAAAAAUAUAAAAGAUGAGUGGAAAAAAUAAAAAGAUGAAAUUUUAACAUUUUAACUUAAUAAAAUAUAAAAAUUCAAAUGGAAAAAAUAAAAAGAUGAGUGGGUCUCGAUCGGAAAGACAAAGUUAACGAGGCUAUUUCAUAACGUCAUAUGGUUGAGGCGGUCUCUAUACAUUUUUACCGAAAAUCAGAGUAAGUGGAAAAUUAUUUUUUUUAAAAAAACCUUGACCCCCAAAGGUGUAAUAGACCCGCCACAAAUAUAGAGAAUUUUUAAAAUAAACGGACAGAAUCUCCGCUGUAUUUGCAUUGUUGGGAAUCCAGCACUCGCCCCGGUACCGGAUCUUGUGAAUCCACAACUCGCUCUGAUACCGACUGCUGUAGAUUCGGUAUCGAUUGUUGGGAUUCCGCAACGGAAGCGUCGAAUCGACUUUUUAUCAUAAACCCGUCUCCUCAGCAAAAGUUGAUACAAUCACAAAAGAGAGAAAAACCAAAACAGAAAAUAUGCGAGUAAAAUAAGAUUUAUUAAAUAAGAGAAGAUUAUACCUGACUCCUCUUCUACAACAGAGUAGCUAUAACCCGAGCCCUUUUUUUGAAUCUCUUCUGCCAUUCUCUCGUCUUUUAUAAAUCUAAAAGACAACUCUCUUUCUCUCUGACAUGCACCCGUGCACUAAGUGCAUGCAACCGGCCAACUCUCUCUCUCUGGUACAAUCCACCAAAGAGCUUCAACUUUUUGACCGUACUUCCUCUCCAAAAGCACCCCACAUGGUGCUUAUAUAAUGUUUACAAUAAAACGUACCCAAAUCCUAAUAUAUUUAGGAUUCCUACUCUAAUAAAUAUUUAAAUCUAUAUUUAGUUUAUCUCCAAUAGAUUUAAAUAUUUAUCCUAAUCUAGUUAGAUUUAUACUCUAAUUAAUAUAUAAAUCUUAAUUUAUCUCCAACAGAUUUAAAUAUUAAUUCUUAUCCAACUAGAAUUAAUCUACAAAUCUAACCAAAUCCUAACAAUCUCCACCUUGGUUGUCUUUUUAGUCUUCAACCGCUGCGUCGAGCUCACCAUGCAAGCUCCACCUUGAGCUUGUCUCCUCCGCUCGAUGUCGCCGCACCCGUCGCUCCGCCUCGAGCGACUGCACCACCGUAAACUUUUGCAACCCAAACCGUCUUCGCUCCCGUUCUGACUGUGCUCCCGUUUUGACUGUGCUCCCGUUCAUAACGUAUAAGUUCCCACGCUUGUUCGCCUCGCACACGACCCGAUCUCGCUUUCGGACCCUCAUAGCUCCACCUGAAGCCGAAAAAUUGCAACCCUUCGAGUCCAACGCGCCUAACGAGAUCAAAUUUCGAUUCAAACCAGGAACAUGCCGCACACCUGUCAGCAUCCUCACAACCCCAUCGUGCAUUCAGAUCUUCACCGUGCUAACUCUCAAAACUUUGCACGCCAUACCGUUCCCUAUCAAAGCCUUUCCACCCUUAAUUUCCUUAUAAGUGGCAAAAGACUUCUUCUCCGGGCAUACGUGGAAGGAACACGCCGAAUCGAGCACCCACGCAUCAUCCGAAAUUUUACACCUCUGGUCGCCGCAUACAGCAUAUCUGAAUCGAUCGUUUCCGACUCUAUCGCCUGCACUGUCGCUGAUACCGUCUCAUCCUGGUUCACAACAAUUUUCUCUCUUUCUGUCGUUUUAACUUCUUCAGAUCAUCCUGAAGUUUUCGACAAUUGCGCUUGAUAUGCCCUUUCCUGCGACAGUAAAAGCACUCUACCUCAGAUACCGACUUCUUCCGUCGAUCUCCGGUCGCCGAUAUUGUUGCCUCCUUCUUUGCUGUCACAACCAAAGCAGUAUCCCGGCCCUGUGUGCCGGACUCCUAAGUCAUCUUCCGCAUCUCAUUUGAGAGAAGCACCGCCGUGACCAUCUCCAUGCUUAUAGUCUCUUUGCCAUAAAGCAACGUGGUCACCAGAUUCUCAUAUGUCGCUGGUAGCGAAGAUAGUAAAAUCAGCGCCUUAUCUUCGUCAUCCAGAUUGACUCCGAUGCUAGUCAACUGGGCCACCACCUUGUUGAACUUGUUAAGAUGCUCAUGUAGGCUUGACGCUUCCUGCAUCCGCAGCGUAAACAGUCGCUACUUUAGAUACAGCCUGUUCGUCAGAGAUUUGGUCAUGUACAGAUCUUCUAAUUUAUCUCAAAUAGAUUUAAAUAUUAAUUCUUAUUCAACUAAAAUUAAUGUACAAAUCUAACCAAAUCCUAACAUGCACGGCAUAGCAUAUAGUACAAAUUAACAACCAGACCUCCACUCACACACAUAAUAAGAGGAUGUAUAAGGAUCAUCAUAUUACAUCAAACAGCUAGUCGUCCUUAGUCACGUCCAUUCCAUAAUCAUUCACAUUCAUCCUAGAAGUUGAAAUAAUCUCCCACACGAGGACUUCCCAUUUAAAACUCUAAUUUUGCGAAAAAUCUCGAGAAAAUCAAUUUAUAAAUAUUUCCCACACGGAAACCAUUAGUUUGAAAACGCUAUCACGAGGGGUAGAAAAUCAUUAAUAGAAAUCUGUGUUCAAAACCACAUGUGUUCAAAAAUCACGAAUGAUCGAAAUCAUGAGUAUCCAAAACACAUAAAUACAUCAUCCAAAAAACUACGAGUAUAAAACACCAACUGAACCACAUGUAUCAUCUACUAUCAGGUGUAGGGGUGAACUAUACUAUCACCUAUUUAUCUAAUGCUAGGUAUGAAGUAAUCAAGAACGUAUACCGUAGAUCGAAACCUCUAUGACCGCCCAUUAGCUAUGGCCUCACGCACCGUCCUAACCCUCACUGCCUAAGCUACCUGAAAAAAAUGGGGGGGUGAGAACAUGUAAACAAAUCUCCCUCUCUCAGUGGGUAUCGCAAGCUGAUGAAAGCAAGCUGUACCCACUAGCAAAUAGAGAGGUAAACAGUAGUAGUAACAAGCAAAUCGGGUAUGAUAACAAUGAAUAAUAUCCACCGGUAAUUACCAAAGAAGUUAUUACUGUAAAGUGAGAUAAUAAAGCAACGACCAACUAUAAUCAAUAGUCAAAUUAGUGCAAUAGAAAUGAUAAAUGAACUGGAAACAAUCGUAAUGACGGUAUGAAUUACCGCUACUGCAAAGGGAGAUAGAGAAAUGACUAUACGUCAACUACAACUGAUAACACAAGUAUACCCAAUCUAUACUGCCAUGUCGGUCUAAGGAUAUCAGGCAAACAACAACCGCUUUGUCUAGCAUAUAACCCUAGCAAAUUGCCGCUGGGCUCACAAGUUGGCAACCAACCACUUUUUCUAAAAAGAACACCCUCCUGCGGAGGAUCAGCCUGCUGGUGUUUGUGAAAUGUUGUCGAACUAUGGCGAUCGAUGUGAAUAUGAUCAAUAGCCAACCGUCAAUGAAUGGCCGACAAUCACCGCCCUUUGGGCACACCGACUAAUAGAUCAAUGAAGCAUAAAGAAACACGAGUACCGACCAUUCAGGUCAACUAGGAUGGACAAGCUCAACACCCUCUCAAGUAUGCAAGUACGUACCAACCACUCAAAUCAACAAGAAAGUACGACGCCAACAAUGACAAGAGUAUAGGGAAACCGACCACUUUGGUCAACUAAGGUGUAUCCACCAGAACCGACCUCUCGGGUCAACAACAACAAUAGUAUAGGGGAACCGACCACUCUAGUCAAUUGAAAAGUGUGAGAUCAAUGACACUAUAAGUACACACGCACCGACCAUUCAGGUCAACAGGAAUAUGAAUGCAAGUGUCACUAUCGCUGUACUUCUAUAUCAUGGCAAACAGGAGAGUAUACAAAGUAGAGCAAGGGUCGAAGUCAUGUAGUGAAUAUCUCAAGCACUGAAUAUGUAUAUAUAUAAGCAGUAGAAGGUAAGGAUGAAGGGAACAUCACCGAACGUGCACCACUGAACCGACUUCAAAUCGAAGUACCCACUUGUGUCCGUUGCCGUGUAUAGCUCCGACAAGGUGAGGGGCCCCGACCAGACCUAUGACCGGUCCACUGAGUCAAGAUUUAAUCCACAUGACUCAAAACACAUCACACACGAACCCAAAACGGCCCGGGAAAAUAGUUUCCCAAAAUCAAUCCCCAAACUCGCCGGGAGUCCCGAAAACGCACCGAGAUGCCCCUGGGACCCACGAAACAUCCCUAAACGCAUUGACUCACACCGAGAGUCACCCACUAUUCCAAAACACACCUAUUUGGGUGUCCGGAUAGCAAACACAAGUCUCCAGGUCAACCCGGUCAUCAGCGACCGAUCGUUCACCAUCGGGCUUUCAGAAAUGUCCACUUUAGCACCGGAUGCGUCCACCACUCGUUUGUCGCCUCCGAACACAAAAGGCGACCCUCGGCGACCAGCCAACAAGGCUAGGAGAUGAUUUUCAGGGUGACCACACAGCUGGAAACUCAGCGCGAUGCAAAAUCGUGUUCUACCAGCGAUUUUGCCAAAAAACACAUCGAAACCCUUCCGCCACUCAUAAACAAACUCCGAACUUCACAGAUGGUGGUAGCAACAAGCCAACAGGGCUUGGUGGGGUAUCUAGGGCAUUUGAAUUCAACAAUUAGUCAAGAGGUCGCUAAUAGCGAUUACACACUGUCCGAGGCUGUGCGCAGGAUCCCCAUUGCAUACAAUUUGCAAUCAGCCCAACAUUGCAUUAAUUACAGUUCAAUUAAUACAUAAAUAUGAGUUUCGAGCUCGUUACACCGAUCCACGUCGCAAUGGAUCCGUCCAACCAGCUGAUUUGAUUCAUCUAGACACGAUGAAGCCUGUGCACGCUGUUCGAAGGGCGAUCGACAGCUGGACGGCUUCGAAACAGCAAAAAAACCCUCCAAAAGCAUGCUCCCGGAAGCCGCCAAGUCUCGCGUGCAUACCAGAGCAUCUCAUAUCAUAGCAAAGUUGAGCACGGGUCUCCGCAAGACCCUAGGAGUGAGAUACUCAUGCUUUGGUUGCUCGCCGAAGUCUCAUGUGGCCGAAAAGAGAAGCUCGGCCAAAACAGCCACUAUAAUCCACCUUGGCAGCAUCCAGCAGAGGCUAGGGCAUCAUGUGGGAGGCGGCCGGCAGCCCGCAACACGAUAAGGUGAGCCCCGGCCAGGAAAGGGUCGCCGCACCCAGGGGAGUCGACCGGGACCUCUGGCCGCAGGUAGGAGGCAGCGGUGGCGCGACGUGGCCUGGCGCGGUGCCAGCGAUCCCAAGCGAUGUGAGAUCCCAGGUGUUUGACUGUGGGGGCUUGUCGACAGCUCUGGAGAGUGUCGGGACAAGUCCGAGUCACGUUGGCGUCAAAUAGACGCAAAACGGACCCCGCGCGACGCGAGGGCAGCAUUCAGCGAGGGAAUUUGCAAAACAGUAGGGUUUUCUGCUUGUUGUACCGGUACAAGGGCUUGCUGUACCGGUACAACCAGCGCGGGGAUGCUUGCUGUACCGGUAGAAGCGUAUUCUGUACCGGUACAACAUAAGCGCACCGAACUUGGCUGCUCUCGGGUUGGCUCUUGUACCGGUACAGGAGCCCGUGUACCGGUACAAGGGAGUAGGUAGAGGGCUAAAUGGGUAAUUUCUCACCUCGUUUGUAUCUCCCACUCUCUCUCUCUCUAUUUUAAGUGGGAAUUGAGCAAAGAGAGAGAGAGAGCUUCUCACUACUCCUUCUUCUCCUCUCUCUCUAGGCCGGUUGUGAGGGAGCUCAGGUGGAGCCGGAGUGCGUCGACGCCGCGCCGCGGAGUCAUUCGAGCUUAUUUUCGACGUCGUGUUGCUGCGAGGAGGCCGGGCGAGUGCGGCUUUUCGCCAUCCUUAACGUCGUGCUGAUUCUUAGGUAAUUUUUUCAAGUGCUUUAUUAGUGGGCAUUUCUCCCAUUACGUAAUUCCAUCAAUUUCGAGCCCGAGUGCUACUGCUGCAGAUAUCUGUGUUGAUUGUCGGUGUUUUGGCUCGUACGCGACGUAGGAGCAUCGGAUUGUGGCGAAACUUGGUUCGCUGGAUUCGGGACUUCGAGAGGAAACUACAGAGUCCAAGAUUGCUGGAUUUGGAGAAGGUUAGCUGGGUCGAACCUCUGUUUUACUCCACUGCUGCGAAUCUGAACCUGAACUUGAGUUUUCUUGGAUUCUUUUGGUGUAAAUCAUGAAGGGAACUGGGAUUUGGACUUGAGCUGUGUACAUUGCCAUUCCAUCCUGGAUUUGGAACCUCGCGUCACCAGGAUUGCGAUUCCGAAAGUGAGGUUCGCAUCGUACUAGAAGGAUUUAGCUUAAGUGCUGAUUUUGAGAGAUUAAUCCAUGUUUAAUGCUGUUGUGGUUCAGAUUAUUGGAGAGUUACGAUUGCUGGUUGAGAGUGGGCUCGGCUGAAAUUAGGUGACUUCUUCGCUGCCAGGGAUUAGCUUUUGAGGUGGGUUUACAUCGGCUUUACUCCUAAGUUCAUAAUCGUCGACAUGUAUAGGUUUCGAUUUUGGUAUAGUUUGGCUAGCUCGAGUUCAUGGAUUAUAAUGGUUAGUAAAAUCUGAAUUUGGAGCAUGACUAGUAAUUAGUAAUUUAUAUACAUGUUGGACUUGGAUUUGACUUAGGAGAAAACCCCGAAGUGAUCGACACUGAUUACACUAUUGGAUUUAGCUCUAGGAGCCGUAUUGUUAUUGUAUCGUCGCAGGGUUAGUGCGAUGGAUACCCAGUGUAGGGUAGCUUAUAUUUACGCUCGUGCUGGUAUGCCGAGUGUAUUUUUACAGGGUCGUUGGGGCUGUUUCGGUCUCUUGGGCGCCGUUGGGGUCGACGGUGGGCCCGGUUCGCCUUUUUGGCACUUGUUUGUGCCAAAGGCACGUUACUUGUUGGUGGUUAGACUAGUUUGAGUCAGUUACUGGACCUUGGCUUCUCAGAGCCUGUGUGAGCUUGACCUUAGCCUUAUCGCCUUUCGGCGUCAGAUUGUGCUGAGGGCACGUUACUUGUUGGUUGUUAGACCAGUUAGAGUUGUUUACUUGACCUUAGCCUGUGAGGACAGUACAAACUUGACAGAGACAGUUGUAAACUCGGCUGGGUCGCGCCCCUGAAUGCCAUUCCGAAAUGAUGUUUCAGUGCGAUGUGUGUCGCAGUUUUUGUUGGGCCUUUUCUCUAACCGACUGCUCUUGAGAUAUGGUGUAGUCUAAUUAGACGAGACGGGUGUAUUCACAGUCUCUAGAGAGUUUUCUCCGCCGGUUGCUCUUAAGAUAUGGUGUAUAGUCUAAUUAGACGGGAUGGGUGUAUUCACAGUCCCUAAAGAGUCUUCUCCGCCAGUUACUCCUGGAGUAGGUUACGGGUUCGAUCCGACAGGUGGGACGGGUGUAUUCAUAGUCCCAGGGACGGGUAUGCUUACAGUCCUGAUUGGAUUGGGUCAAUUUUGACAUUUCCUACAGUUGGUUAGUGUAGAGCAUGCUAGUGUAGUGAUUGUUAGCGGUAGAGUUUACUUCCUGCUUUUUCUACUACUUGCUCCCUUCCGUAGACUUAGUGGGUAGACCGAUGUUGUUUUGGGCGGUACCCACUGAGGACUACUUGUUUUUACAGUAGUUCUCAUGCCCAGUUGUUACCACUGUUUUGCAGAGCCACAGGUUCCGGCUGCUGCGCUUCCCGCUGAUCAAGAUCGAGGUAAGGGCGUUGCAAGCUAGUGCCCUACCUGACGAGCAGAGCUAGAAGCACCCCUAUCUCAGGUAGUUGUUUUUCUUUCGAGCUUAUGUACAUAGUACUUAACUCGCCUGUGCGAGUAACGCUGUAUUUUGAAUUUUGAAAACUAUGUAUAUGAAGCUCAGUUUGUUUAGCUCUUGUCUACUCGAGCAGCUCUAUACUACUGUCUGUAAUAUUGUAUGUUUACAGGUACAGCUGUCGCUUCGUAUACAAGGAAAAUUUCUUUGUAUACGGCGGAUUUGUCGGCGUGCCCGGAAAACGAGUCAUCCGGGGCGUGACAAGCGAGCCCGCCGCUAAGGCAUAAUAGAUCGCCGGGAUAGCGGGUUGCGAUGGCGAGGGGGGACACCCGUGGACUCCCUGGGACCUCCGGCACCGCCCAGUGGCAGCGUGGCGCCGCGACGACGGUCCGGUUGCUCCCCACGGCCGUAGGUGCCCUGCAGAGCGCCCUCUCAGCUGCUGCGGUUCCCCGAUGCACGGCGGUGCUGAGAGCAGCUGAGGGAGGGUCGCCGAGGUCCGCGUGGUCGUUGGCGGUGGUCCCAGCAGCCGACGGCAUGACUAUAAGAGGGCUCAGGCUUCCCUCGCUUACAACACCACAAGAGAGAGAGAGGGAAGAAGAAGUUGUUUCUUCUUCUCCAGCGGUCGGCGGCGAUGGGGGCGGCAAUAGGACCCUCUCUCAAAGAUGGACAAGGGGAUGGGAGGAGGAUGGCCUAAGUUUGGGUUCUAAAAUCCUCAAAUCUACACCUAAACCCAAAUACCACUAUUCGUAGUGGAUAAUUGCUCCAAAGUCCUCCAACUCUCAAAAUUCACACUCUUGUCCCUCUCCAUCAUGUUUCUCUCGCAGAAAGGCCCCUUCCCGUAGGUUUUCACACAAAACGGAGGACAGAUCGCAUCUAAAAAGCAAAAACAACACGAGAUAAAGCCUUCCUAGCGAUAAAACCUAUUUUUCUUGAAAAUCGUGCGUCGAACAUAAAAUCCAUUAAUGCCAUUGGCUCCGGCACAGUCGAACCUUCGAAAAUGUGCUAUUGGAUUGUCCAGAACGGAGUUCGAUUCACGUCCGAAGCCCAUCUCUCUUCUUGGUCCUCGUGGGAAAAACGGGUUACUAUUCACUUUAAGUGAAAAGUAAUAAUCACGUAAAAACUUUAUUUCAAAUCAUUUUUCGCUGAAAUUUAUCUGGUAAUUUUAAAAUUAAAAUACAUACGAUAAUAUUUAAAAAAAUGUCAAACAUACAUAGAUAAAAUCUCAGUCCUUACAAAUAUAAUUGAAAUGCUAUUGAUGUGUGACUAAAGAAUUAUAUUUUUUCCGUCAAAACAAAUAAAGGCACAAAGCACUUCACUUUCGAAAGUAAAGUGUUAUCAAAUGAAGAAUAAAAGUGAGAGAAUCGAAUUUCCAACACCAAUAAACUUUAUCAAACUAAACAAAUAUUAAAAAUUUGAGCUCAAAAUAACCAAUCUUUAACUAAGUAGAUUUGAAUAGAUAUGUCAUAGACUUUGGGUUCAGCUGCAACUCCCUAACAAUGACGUCAAACCAAUGGUUUAAAAUGUUGAAUCUAAAAUAAUAAAGUGCCGUUUUUCAGUAACUUAAGCUUUUGAGUUGAUUCAAGCAUUGGACUAGUUUGAGAAUGCAGUGACCACGAACAUCCGUUUACAUGCUUUAGAGGAUUCAAAAAAAUUCAAAAAUGCUUCUAAAAUUUUCCCCUCUUAUGAUAUAAAGUUGCAAUGAGAUUGUUACUUCAGAAGUUUCAGCCAAAUGCUUCUGAUCAGCUGAUGGUUCCCAUAACUUUUGUGUAGCAUCAAAAGGGAAAGGCUUCAAAGCGAUUUUGAAUAACCAAAAGUCCUAAAUAUCAAAAAUAGAUGAAUUUAAUUAGCCACUAAAUCACCAAACUAGGUUUUAAAACACUACUAAAUUUUGAAUUUUGCAAUUUGUUGUGUACUUUGCACUAUGAACACUGCUCCUAAAAUUAGUUUGACUUUUCUUCCAAGUAGGACUUUUCAGACAUUUUUUAGGUAAUAAUGUAAUUAUACCAACGCAUGAUCAAACUCAGAAAACUAGUACUUCUAUGUAGGGGUGGAAACGAGCCGAGCUCAAGCGAGCUUAUGUCAGCUCAAAUUCGGCUUGAAAUUAAUUUCGAGCCUAAAUCUAGGCUCAAGCUCGGCUUGAAAUUAAUUCGAGCCGAGCUCGAGCGAGCCUAAUUUCGAGUCGAGCCGAGCUCGAGCUCUAAACGAGCCGAUUGAAAUUCUCGACAUUAUAUAAUCAAUAGUUUAAUUUUUAUAGAACAUUACAUAUAAUUUGAUGCAACAUGUUCAAUAGUUCAAAAUACAAAAUAAUUGUAAGAAAUGUGAGCUAGGAUGACUGUCUGACUGGGUGAGGGUCAGAGAGAGAGAGAGAGAGGGGGGGGAAAAAAAUUAGGGAUUUGAAAAUUUGAAUUUUAUCAUGUUUUAGGGUUAUGUGCAACAGUGAAAAUCUGAAAAAGAGAGUGUGUUAUGUAAUUUAGAGUUGGACUCAAUUGCACAGUUGUACUUAUUGGGUUUAUUUUAUAGGCCAACAAUAAUAGCCCAAAUUAAAUUAAAGCCUAUAUAUAAUUAAAAUAUUAUAUAUAUAUAUAUAUAUAUAUUUCGAGCUUUUCGAGCCUAAUUCGAACGAGCCGAGUAAUACUCAAGCUCGGCUUGAAAUGAAUUUCGAGCCUUUUAUUUUGUUCAAGCUCGGCUCAUUUAAUUUCGAGUCGAGCUCGAGCGAGCCGAAUAUCGAGCCGAACACGAGUCGAACGCGAGCCGGCUCGCUCGUUUGCCAGCCCUACUUCUAUGUUUAUUUCACAGGAUAUACUUUAUUUGGUGAAUCCAAGGGUGUUUGGCCUAGCUCGCUGUUCAUGAGCCAGCUCGUUGUUCACGAGCCAGCUCGUGUUCGGCUCGAAAUGAACUCGAAAUCGAAUCGCUCGUUUAAUAAAUGAGCCGAACACAAGCUGAAUUUUUCAGCUCGUUUAAUAAACGAGCCGAACACUAGCUAGAGUCAGCUCGCUCGUGUUCCGCUCGAUAAUAGCUCGAAUACAUAUAUUUUAUAUUCAUAUAAUUAUUUAAUUUAUAUUUAAUAUAUAUAAUAUAUAUAUUUAUUUAUUUAUAAAAAACUUAUUUAUAUGUAAAGUUUCAACCAUUAGAUCAAACUUUAAAAGGUAACAUUUUGUAAAUAUACUUUUUAUGUAUAUCCAAUCUAAUCUGUUUAACUUCUUGUUCGUUGGCCAGCUCGUAAGCCAACUAGUGUUCGGCUCGUUUAUUAACGAGCUGAACACGAGCUGAAUUUUUUGACUCGAUAUUUUAAUGAGCCAACUCAUUUUUGGCUCGAUAUCUAAACGAACAGUACACGAGCCGGCCCCAACUCACUUGUGUUCGGCUCAUUGACACCCCUAGUUUGGCCUACAUUUUGGAAAAAUGAUUUCUAUAUAAUUAAUUUUUAGUUUGAAAAAUUAAUGUUGGUUAAAAAUUAUAGAGUGUUUGGCUGAGUCUAGCGAAAAAGUAAUUUUUCUGAAGUAAAUUUACAAAGCUGUUUAACAAAUUUUUUUCUAUUUGCAAAUAAUGAAUUUCAAUUUAAGAUUUUGAAUUUAAAAUCUUAAAUAGAAUUUUAAUUUUGAUAUUUGAAUUUAAAAUCUAAAUUUAAAAAUUUAAAUUAAAUAAUAAAUAUUUAGAAUUUUUAUUUUGAAAUUAAAAUUAAAAAUUUGAAAGUUAAAUUUAAAAUUUAAAAUCUAAAUUUUAAAAUUAAAAAUUUAAAAAUUUAAAUUAAAUAAUAAAUAUUUAGAAUUUUUAUUUUGAAAUUAAAAUUAAAAAUUUGAAAGUUAAAUUUAAAAUUUAGAACUUAAAAUCUACAUUUAAAUGGCGGAGUUGGAUCUUGAUUCUAGAAUAUAAAUCGGGACGAAGCUAGGAAUUAAGAUUCAAGGAGGCCAAGUUUUAGAUUUGGCAUAAAACAAAAAAUUUGACCUUAGAAUCUCGAAUAGUUAGGAAAAGAAUCUGCCGACUUCAACGAUCAUCUAUUGCCAGCGACGGCAGCGGCGAUGUGCCCGGGGACUCCGGGGAAGAUUGGGAGCACAAGUUUUGCGAAAAAAAAAAUUCAAUUUGGCUCCCAUAAAAUCUAAAAUUUAUAAUAUUUUGAUUUUUUUACUCUGGCUAGUUAGUAAAGGACUUACAUGUAAAUUUCGGAAUUUGGUGGGUUUUGUGGCCACUUUGAGCCUCACAAUGGCUCCUCCCUGGUAAACUACUGUUUAGUUCCCCAGAAAAAUAUGAAAAAAAAUUUACACAAAAAUAUUUUAUGGAAAUUCUUUUCGAAUUUACCAUCCAUUUUGUUUGAAGAAAAAUUAGCUUUUUAGAAAAGCUUCUUUCCAAAUUUCAUGAAAUUUUUUUUUUUGGUUUUUUCAAAAAACAUUCAAAAAAAUAAAUAUACUAAUUUGCUAUAAAAUUUGGAAAAAAGCUUUUCAAAAGACCUAUUUUUUUAAUCCAAACGGACGAAAAAUUGAGAAAGAAUUUUUUAUAUUAAUAUUAAAAUUAGCCGGAUUCAGAAAAUUAAGACGCACAAAAAUAUUUUCUAUGCCAUAUAUAAGAUAGAGGUUAAAAAAUUUAUAUUAAUCUCUCGGUAGCGCAGGGACGGAGCUAUAGUCAGGCUCACAGUAGCCAUGGCCCUCCUUAUCUUUUAAAAAUUAUAUAUAAGUCCUUUAUAGUAAAAAUUAAAAAAUUAUAAAUUUUAGUUUUAGACGGGGCCAAAUUAUUUUUUUUUUUAAAUAAAACUUGUGCCCCAAUCUUUUUCCGAACUCCUCGACCCUUUUCCUUCAGCUCUUAUAGUCUUGUUUCUGCUUGAGCAUAUUGUCGCUGCUGUCGCUAGUAAUAGAUGAUCAGUGAAUCUGACAAACUCUUAUUUUUGUCAUCCGAGGUUGAAUUUUUUUCUACAAAACCUAAAUCUUGGCACCUCCCCGACCUUUAAUUCCUAGCUUCGUCCCUGCGGUAGUGCAUAAAGUAAUUAAGUUUUGAAUUCAAAAUUUUGAAUUCAAAAUUCUUGUAAUCAAAAUGAAAAUAUCAAAUCGUAGAGACACUUCAUAUAUCGUUUUAAAAUAACAAAUUUAAAAUUGAAAAUAAAAAUUUUGCUUUACUGCUUAAUAAUUUGGGGGAGGAAAUUUGGGCUAGCAAUCAACAUAGUCUUAUCCAACCUUCCUUAAUUAAAUUAUUUCUGAAGAUAAUUAGCUUUUAAAUUUGUUAUAAAUUUUUAUACAAUUAAUUAGUUUUCCUAAAAUCAAUUUAUUAUUUUUUUAAAAAAUAAAAUUUUAAAAAUUUCUGUGCGCAACGCACGAGUUAGAGACUAGUUUAUUUUGAAAUUAAUUGAUCCAAUAUUGCAAAUCAAAGAAUCCCAAACUCUACUUCUUUAAUAUGCUUUAAAAUGCGUUCUUUUCUAAAGUGGCAAGUAAAGAAUGAUACUUAUGUAGAUAGACCUUCAACUUUCGCCCACCAGCAUGCUAAAUUGUUAACAUGUGACAAUCUUAUUUAAGGCAGUAAUAUUAUUUGCAUAAAAGGUUGAAACUAAAAAAUAAAUUUGGUAUGCAAUCAGUAAAUCUAUUUGUAGCUGCAAAUAUCUUUAAUUUAAUUUGUUGGAGUGGUGAACUUCUACAAUGGGAUGCAUGCUUGUUGCUUCAAUGGAAUGCACAAUUUUGAGGUAAAAGUGAGCAUUACUAGUAUUGUAGCUUAUGUAAUUGUAAUGAAAAAGAGUUAAAAAUAGGAAGAAUUAGUGCACCUUGCGCAUGUGCAUUGGUACAGGAAGAUUCCUUAGUAGAGGUAUAUACAUGUACUAAUUAAUCAACUUAAGGAUAAAGAAGCAAAGAAUUUCGAGCCGUACACCUUUAAUUAAUUUGCUUUAGAAUUGAUUCCCUCUUAAAGUGGCAAGUAAAGGAUCAAAGUUUCGUAGCUUAAAUUUCUGAUUUCACGGAGAGGCAAACCAAAUGAUUGACUCCUGGGGUCUGUUUGUUUCACCAAAAGUAGAGAGAAAUGAAUUUAUUUUUACCAUAAAUAUUCACUUCUAUUGUUUGGUUUUUCAUAACUCCACCUUCAGUGAAACAUAAUUUUUUUUCAAAAUACCGUAAUUAACUUGACCUAUUUUGGGGCAAAAUCAAUUACGAAAAACAAAAGUGAGAAAAAAAAUAAUAAAACAUUAACGAAGGGAAACUUUAGCUUUUAUGUUAUUAACUUUCUACCAAACACACAACAGAACUCGAAAAAAAAAUAAUUAUAAGAAUAAAUUGUAUGUAAUUAGUAUGUCUAUCUAUAUAUAAACCAAGAGCUUUCAACCCACUAUCUUUAUUUUUCUUUACAAUGGAUUCUUUCCAAAAUUAGCAAGUAAAAAAUUAUGCUUUUGUUGCCAAAACUUCUAGUCGAUUCGACAAUCGGAAUUAUUAACAUGUAGCAAUCUCAUUCAAGACAAUUAUAAAUUUGUUUAUGUUUAAAAAAGUUUAAGCUACAGGGAAAAGAGUUAUAUAAACAUAUAAAAGAAAUUUGGGCUAGCAAUCAACCUAUCUAUCUAUAGCUACAUCUAAUAUAUAAUUUUGUUCAACCUUAAUUAUCUCUGAAAAUAAUUAGGUUUUAAACUUAUUUAAAUUUUUAUAAGACAAAUAAGUUUUCUCAAACUUAAUUUACUAUUUUUUUAAAAAAUAAAAUUUUAAAAAUAUCCAUGUGCAAUGCAUAGGUUAAAAACCAAUUUAUUUUGAAAUUAAUUAGUCAAAUAUUAUAUAAAUUAAAGAAUCUCUAAUUCUACAUCUUUAGUUUGCUUUAAAAUAGAUUCUUCUCUAAAGUGGCAAGUAAAGAAUGAUACUUCUGUAGGCAAAUUAAGCCUCUACUUCCAUCCGCUAGCAUGCGAAACUUGCUAAUAUAUAACAGUGUUAUUUGAGGCAAUGAUAUAAUUUGUCUAAAGAGUUAAAAACAGGAAAUAAAUUUAAUUGGUAUGGAAUUACUAAAUCUAUCUCUAGAUGCAUCUCUAGUUUGCUUGCUCUAGAAUUUGUUCCUUCCCAACAUAACAAGUAAAGAAUCAGAUUUAUUAUAUUUUUCAUAUAAAUACAAUCCAUUCUAACUGUUCCUUUAACAAGUUGGAAGUCUUUAGAACUCUCUUAUAUGGCAAGAAAGAUCUAUACUAUGGAUUUGCCGUCACCGGACUGAGUGAAUGAGCGCAUGAAGGAAUGCUUUCAAAAGCGGUAAAAAGAUACCAUAUUUGAUACUCACCUAGAUGGACAACCAGCCAUUUGAAUUCGUCUGGUGUUCUUCCUCCUUAACGCACAAAUAGGCAUUUGGUCAUUCGGGUUCUAUCUGGUGCUCUUUUUUCUAAACGCACAAAUAGACAUUUAGUCAUUCGGGUACGUACAUAUUUAAUUUCUUACAUUAUUUUUAUUACUUAUUUUUUUAUUUCUGAUUCGUUAUUUUUUUUCAUUUUGUCAUUGGUUAUUGUAAUUGAGGUUUAAGGAUCCUUUUUAUUCAAUAGUGAUUAAGCCCCUUAAAUAACACAAAAAAAACCCCUAAUUAUACAAGGUAACUAUUCAAAUAUUAAAUCAAGCUUAGAAGGAUGGAAAUAACAUUCUAAUAUGAUAUGUAAUUAAGAAAAUUUGUUAUGACUAUAUGCAUGCCUGAACACAUAUUAUAUAUAAUACUAGUUUAGAAACCCGCACGAUGCGGCGGAUAGAAAUUAUAAUAAAAAUUUACAAAUUAAAUACAAUAAAUAAAAAAAUGAUUGGUUAGUAAUAUAAAAAAUAUAAUAAAAGAAAUUAGAAUGAGAAUAUAAUUCAGUGGAGAACAAAAAAAGAAAACGAAAAGAAAGAACUAUAGGAGAAUAAAAAUUGUUGUAUAGAUAGAAAUUAAAAAAAAUAAUUUAAUGCAAGAAUAAAAGAGAAAGAAAAAAAAUCUAGAGCUGAUUUCAUUAAGAUUGAUUUCGUUAUACGAUGAAUUAUAAUGGGCUUCGGUUUUCUUUUUUCUGCAUGAAAACCAAUUUUUUUUUAAAAAAAAACAGCAAUUAGUAAAAAAUAAUAUUUUUUAAAUUCAUUGAAAUAUAAAAUCCCAUAUGAAAAAAGCCUUCAAAUUUAUAGCUCUUUAAUUCAUCGUCACAUGCUUUUUCUCUACACUAAAUCAAAUGAAAAUUAUAAAAAUAAGUAUUUAAAAAUUAUUAAUAUUAAUUUGAAACUGUAAAUGCUAUUUUAAUACUCAAAGAUAAUGCAUCGAACAGCUGACGUGCGUGGUAAACAAUCCCGAUAUCGCAAUAUCCAAACAAAUGAUAGCUUUACAGAUUUCUUCCUAAAUCCAAAAAAAUGAAUCUCAUAUUAGAAGGAUUUGAUUAAAAAGAAAAAAAAAAUCAUAGGAAGAUAAAGAGAGGAUUUUAAAAUGUUGAUGAUAAAGGAGUCGAAUUGGACGUCAAAGACGACAAAGGAGGGGGUUUGAGAAGAGGUUGGGAAGCAAGCGCUGCAAUCACAACCCACAGAGAGGAGGCCGUUGCGAGGGGCAACGUAAAGGAUCAUAGCGAAGCUUCUUGGCAUAGCAGCGAAUACUCUAGCAACCUAUACCACGUCCACCAAAAAUUACACUAUCACCAACUCCUCCGUUAAUAGGGAGAGAGAGAGAGAGGAUGAAGAAGAAGAAGAAAACGAAAAGUCUAAUGUAGAAAUCUACACUAUAAUGCUAUGAAGCUUUUGAAAAAGUAUAAUGUUAUGUAGAAAUCUAUACUUUCAAAUUCAGAGUGUACGUUUUGAAAAAGUAUAAAGAUUUUAAAAAAGUAUGAAAGGUUGGGAUAUGAUAGGGUGUAUGUUUUGAAAGUAUAAAGGGCAGAGAGAUGAGAGGGUGUACAUUUUGAAAAGUAUAAAGGGUGAAGAGAUGAAAGAGUGUACGUUUUAAAAAAGUAUGAAGGGUGGGGAGAUAAGAGAGUAUACGUUUUGAAAAAAUAUGAAAGAAUGUGAAGAGGUGUACGUUUUGGAAAAAUAUGAGAGUAUGUGAAGAGAUGAGGAAAGUGUAUGGUGAGGGAAUAGAAAGGAUGAGCUCAUAACCCAAACAACUCAAGUGAAGGAAAUAUCGCCACUUGCACAUUUUAUUGGGAAUUAAUAUAAUAGUAUAGAAGUAUAGAUAUAAAGUUGAGCUAGAAUACUAUCGAUAGCAAACGGGCUCUGUUGUCAUCCAUUUGUUUUAGAUGAUAUAGCCUCCAAAUCGACGAUCGGCACCGUUGAACAUGAUCUAUACCACUUGAAGUGUUUAGAAAUCAAAUUUCAAAUCUUUUCGACAUCAUUUGCCUAAUGAUCAAAGGGUUUCAAAAAUUGUAAUUUUAAUGGUCGAUAUGAGGCGUUUUCUCGUUUAACAGCGUAAAGAUAUCCAAAUUAAUUGAAUUUUUUUAGAAAAUUUUUUAAACUAUUUAAAACAAAAUCUAUACUCUUGAUCUUGAUUACAAGACUCCUAUCAUCAUUUUUUAAAGAAUAUUCAUUUUCAGCCGUUCAUUUUUGUGCCCACUCGAUGGAUAAGAGAACAAUAUCGAAAAUGUAUGAAAUUUGAUUUCUAAAUACUUCAAGUAGUAUAGAUCAUGUUCAACGGUGCCGAUCGUCGAUUUGAAAGCUCCAUUAUUGAAAAUAAAUGGGUGGCAAUAAAGCCUGUUUGCUAUCGAUAGUAUUCUAGCUCAACUCAUAAUAUAUAUAUAUAUAUAGGAUUUGAAAUGGAGUCAAUAUU
Molecule: long non-coding RNA, 48711 nt
Filed under: Ananas comosus (pineapple)
Lineage: Eukaryota; Viridiplantae; Streptophyta; Magnoliopsida; Poales; Bromeliaceae
Description: long non-coding RNA (ACOM_LNC001214)
Source: RNAcentral